UACAUAAACCCAACAAGCACCAUUACAAUCUCGAAGUCCGACAUACAACCCCUCUUUCUCUGUCUCAAGAUUUCAGCUUCAGAAAUUGACAUCUGAAAGUGAAAAGUUAAUCUUUUUGUGUUUUUUUUUUCUUGAUUCCCAGAUCCGACUACCCAAAAGAGCGCAACACCCAAGACGGCCGGAGAGUGAUGUCGUCAUCGUCGACAACAAGCGUUCACGUCAUGGCCCUGGACGGCCUGGUCAACGUGAACUCACUCUUCACCAUUGCCGUCUUCGUGGGGCUUUCUCUGGCGACUCCGGGACAGAGGAGCCUCGAGAACCGGACAUCCUGCGACGCUGGGAUCGACGUGGCGAAGAAGCUGCUGGUGUUCGAGGUUGUCUCGUUCAGCUUCUUCCUGUUCUCAUCGCUUGUGGCGCAGGGACUGAAGCUGGCGAUCAACCUGCUCAACAGCAAGAAAGGAGAGGACCCGUUACAGGCCCACAUCAAUAAGAAGGUGUUGAGAUUCGGGAUGUUGGGGUCGGCUUUCGGGUCGGUCAUGGGUUGCGUGUUUCUGAUGCUGUCGAUGGUGAAUGUGAUCCAGAUCAGGCUGGGGAUGCUGUCGUGUGGCAGCAAAUCCUCCGUCCAUGCUGUGGCGGCGCUUGUUGUUUUGGUCACGACGGCUCUUUUGGUUUAUAUUUCUACUGCUGUUUAUGCUUUUCUUCACUAGCUGCUGAAUCAAAUUUUAUAUUUGUCUCCGGAUAUUGGAAUAAGAGUAAACUGUUGAUUUGCCCCCUGAACUAUCACCCAACUUUCAAUUUCCCCCCUGAACUUUUUAAUUGGAAAAUUAAGGACUUAAACUAAUUUUUUUUGGCCAAUUUCCCCCCUACAGUUAGUUUUUCAUAGAUUUCAUCCAAAUUAACGUUAACUCUUAUCAUGUGCAAACCACGUAACUCUCAUUUGUGGACAAAAGUGUCAUUUCACUAGACUUUUAGAUACAAAAGCUAUAGAAUCACACAUAUUUGCAUAGGUUUAUAUUUUAGAAAUAUAAGGUUUUCAAUUAUUUUAAAGAAUGAAGCGACCGAACUACCCACACAUGUUGUGCAUAUGCUUCCAUUUAACAAAAAUUUGGAUGGAAUGAAUGAAAAAUUAACAGCAGGGGGUAAAUCGGCCAAAAAAAUUAGUUUAAGUCCUUAAUUUUCCAAUUAAAAAGUUCAGGGGGGAAAUCGAAAGUUGGGUGAUAGUUUAGGGGGCAAAUCGGUAGUAUACUCUUGGAAUAAUGGAAUGUCUGUGACGGUAUUUCUAUGAAUUGCACGGAUUCUGUUGCUGAGAGGUCCUCCUUUGUUUGAGAUUUUAGGUGACCCUGAUUUGGUUGAGAGUGAAAUCUUUAAAAAUUGGCAACUUGGAAUAGAAUAUGCUUCAUUAGAGUACUUAGGUAAUGUUGGUCGGACACUUGGAAUGAGUAGGAAUGGGCAAAAUACCUAUGGGUUUAGGUAACUGCGGUUACUUACCCAUUUAAAGUUUAUGAUUACGGUUAUGGAUAACCAUUUAGACGAACAAACGGUUAUGGGUAUAACCGUUUAUCCGUGAAAUUUAAAUGGACGGUUAUGGGUAUUAGCCAUUGUUAUAAUGGAUAUCCAUCGGUUAUAGGUAUUACAUGUGGUUAUAAUGAAUAUCCAUUUAUCCAUUUAAUUUAAUACAUGUAAAAUUAAAAAAAAAAAAAUUAAAAACCCUAAAUUUUCAAUCUCUCCACUAGCCUCAAAGUCUCAAACGCUCCGUCCUCGCUGAAUCAACCACCAUUGCAUAUUCUUUCAAAAAGUUCUCCUCCAGCUGCAUUUUCCAUCUCAAUUGCUAAAUCGUUUGGUGUUAACAGCACCUACGUAAAUUAACACACACACACACAGAGUAGAAUUAAAAGUUAUUGAUGAAUAAAACAAGCAUGAAUAUUUGACUUUAAACCAAGUGAAAUUAAAAGUUAACGACAAAAGGUAGUCUGAUUGUUCUCUAUCAAAAAUGUUUAGUUUCGAAAUAUUUUGGAGCUUUGAAUCAUCUAGUAUUCAAGAUAAUGACUACUUUUUGUUUUUAGAAACUUUACUUUGUAAUCAUAUGGAUUAUAAUUAAAGACUUGAUUGAGUGUAGUAGAAAAAUAUCGUUUUUAAACUAUUAUUUCAAUUAUUGGAAUUGUAUGAGGACUUAAAUGAUUAAAAUAGGAAAAUGCAUGCUAAAAUGUACCUAUAAUGAUGUUUAAUUGUUAGAAAACGAAAAUUAUAACAAAAUUUUCUUUUGCAAUUUUCAAGUUGUUAAAAAAAAAAACAUGUAGAUGAGUGAAAAAAGGGUAAAUGGGUAAAAAAAAGAAGAAGAUAAACGGGUUCAAAAACAAGUAAACGAGUAAAUAAUUAUGGUUAAAUGGGUAAACGGUUGUGAUUAAAUGGGUAAACGGUUAUGUGUAUGGGUAUAAUAAUUUAUGCAAUUACUCAACGGGUAAACGGUUAUGCGGGUAUGAACAUAAAUGGUUAUGGGUAAAUAACCGCAGUUACCUGUCUGUCAUAACCGUUGCCCAUUCCUAGUAAUGAGGGUUUAUGGAAACUUACCUACAUUGGAGAUGACCUUAUGGUGAUCUCAUAGCCAAUCACACAUGUGUUGUCAUGUGGAGUAGGACACUCAGUCACAUAAUGUUUUAAGAUAUUGUUACGAUAGCAUCCCCCACUGAUUCUGUCCAGUUGCUGCUAGUGUUGCUAGUGUUGAAUGUUUGAUUAGAUUAUGAUUGAUUUCGAUCACAUUACAAACUUGGCUGAGAAAACAAAGCCGUCAUUUCAUCCGAACUAGUCGCUAAUGCAAAAUAUGGUUGAAUUUUGGACGACACCAUCAUAUGAUGUUAGAGUACGGUUUUUGGUGUCAGUUGCUAAUUGUUUUUGUUUGAACUAGGUUCUCACUGUCGGGACCUCGGGACAUGGCAUUAUGUUUGGCUUGCUUAUUCGUUGUAUGCCGAAUAGCAUAACGGAUGACAUAUAGGAACCUCGACCGUGUCUACGAGCAAUAUUGGCCGGUGCGCUGGUCGGUAUUAUAAUCGGCACAUGACAACCCCAAGAAGUAGUAUGCCCGCCCCCUAACCUCCAACGGGUGCCGAGAAGAAGCUUGUUUAAUGUGCCAAGGGUCCGAGCACCGGGGACGUUUGGGAGCUUGUUUAGCCGUAAUAAAUCUAUAUGAACUCGGAUUUAGUUGCAUUGGACUCGUUUCAACAUCCCGAUAUGGUCUUGCGUUUGAGACCCUUGUUUUUCGUUUGUUGAACAUUUCUACUCGAAUCGGACUCGUGCUUGACUUUGGGACUGGAGUUUCCACAAACAACUAGAGAAGCGAAAUUAUUAUCUCAUUUCAAUUUUUAUUUUCAGGUCUCUCGAUUUAUAAUAAUAAUAAAUAACCAUGAAUCAACAUUCAUUGUCUCCUUCUGCACUCCUCCCUUUGUUUGUGUCCUUGAUUUACUCUGAGUCGUAUGGCUAGAAAAAGAGGGAGGAGCAAGAUAUGUGAGUGUCAAAAAUCAAUUCGCUAAAUUAAAAUGAAACUAAAGAAAAAUAAUAGAGUACGCAAAAGAUUAUGGAGUUAGAAGAACUUGCUACUUAUACGUAUGCUAUUUGUACAACCAAAGGGUAAAUCAACUGAAAAAAAAAACAAAAAACAAAGAACGAAAACUACAGGAUAAUUCAGUUUCUGCUCCACCGAAAACUAAGAUUUAUAGUUUUUCUUUUAACAAGACGAUAAUCUAAACUACUCUUAUCUAAUCUAUGGGGAGGGGAUUUGAACUCAAAUGCAAGAGACAGACACACUGCCUUGACCAACUGACCAGACCCACAUUUGCAAAUUAGGUCUUGAAUACAGGGAAUAGCGUAUGAAAGGAGCUGAAACAAUCAAGUAGCCUUUUAACCGUUUCAAGGUGCUACCCUCUUUGAUUCAAUUUCUUUCACGCUCUGGACUAUACCGUCAAUGUUUCUCGACAAGUGAUUGGAAUGUUCUUCCAUCUGCCUCAAAACCAUAUCAAGCUGUUCUUGAUAGGUGGCAGACAUCUUUCGCUCACGUUGCAACUCAGCCGUCAACUCCCGAAUUUUCAGAUAUUUUUCGUCCUGGAACAAACCAAAAAGCAAAUCAAUAGCAAUUAUUGAUUGUUAUGGGAAAUAUUAUGGUAGCAUAAUGCAAAGAACUCUUCCCCUGCCCUGCCCUCACAAACAUACGUCGGGUAUCUGCUAGGUGGCUUUAACAAGCCCUGGUCAAAUAUGUAAAACGUUACUGUAACCACUGUAAAUUAGAGCACAAACCCUACAUGUAAAACGUUUACUGUAACCACGAUAAAGUUAAACGAGACACCUAUUACAUCUCACAAAACGGCCAGGGAAGCAAUUACAUAUAGCACUCGAGGGGACUUGUCCAAAUUCUAAGAACAGUUACUACCAAAAGAAACCAUUAAAACGUCUUUAUUUAAUUAUUUUAUUACAUCUUGAGUAAGUUUAUAAAGCUAAGGACCCAUUUGAUAAACAUUUUGGUUUUAGCUUUUAGUUCUUAUUUUUUGUGCUAGAGACCGGGGGAAAGUAUAUUGGAUGAAAUAAGGAAUGGAGAAGGAUAAAGGGAGGCGGUGUGAGGGAGGAGGGAGAAAUGUAGAUCAUAUGAAAACAAAAACGUUAAAGUGAAAUCAACUCAAAAUUGUUUUUAGUUUUCAUUUUUGUCAUUCCUUUCCUUUCCUUUCCUCCACCCUCCUUCCUUCACCCUUCUUUAUCUCUCCAUCCCUUUCUCCCACAAGUACUUCUCCACCAUAUAUAUCACAAAAAAUUAAAACUAAAAACGAAAUGGUUAUCAAACAGGUCCUGAGUUUUAGAUUGAACGUCAAAACUGGUUUUAACAAUUUGGAGGUGACAAAAAAUGGGUUGCCUAGUACGCCUUUGAGAAAUAUAUGAACUACAUUCUUCAAACAAGGAAAACCAAAAGAACGAUAUCAUCAGGGAACCUUUUCAAGCAAGGGGCAUCUGCUAACUUCAUCCAAUUAACCAGAAUCCCUACUAAUAUAAUGCAGGGUUGCAUUAGCAAAAGUAACUUUCCAGCUUGCAAAAGCUCCAAAUCACUUGCAGGCAACAGAGACUAGACCAUCUGAUGCAAUUUCAAAUAUACAACGGACAGAAACUAGAUAAUCGAUUAACUUAACCAACACAAGGAAACAAAAUAAACCGCUAACUUAACAGAAAUCACAAUGCAUCUGUCUUACAAAAUAAACCUAUAAGCGAGCAACUCAAAGAUGCAGAUAAGAAGCACUCACUGGUGUUUGAGACAGAAGCAUACUGCGGCGACCAUUUGCAGGUGUACCUACUAGUGGACGGUUAUGCUCCUUUAUAAAUCGUGUUACGAUCCAUUUUCCUGAUUUGUCUUUCUUUACCACAAGCAUCGCUUUGCACCCUUCUCUGGUGAUUGCUCGAGGCUUCCUAUUCUCAGUUCUUUUGGCUCGCGUCAUGCGAAAUCCCUCUUUGUUACACACAAGCCUCCGCCAAACUACCUUACCAUCACGCAUUGAUCUCCGGAAGGCAUCGACUCGCAUAAUGAAGCCCACCUGUGUUGCAUAUGCAUCAUAGAACACUUUCGCAGCCUCUUCAUAUUCAAACUCCAUACCCACAAAUGGUUCUGUAUCCGAGUUCCCCUCAUAUGUGACUGCCUCUUUCCCAUUGGAACUCUCUAACACGUCCUCAUCCUUGCUCAUAGAAGGUUCUUCAUCAUCCACUGCCCAAAUAAGCAUUGUGAUAAGACUCCAUCUAAGGUUCUACCUUCCAAAAUUCAAGCAAAACAAUAAUUUUGCGAAGAAAAAUGCGAUUUUUUAUACCAAACUAGUUUUCGAUUACCUAAUGAAUUGUGCAAAGUCUCACAUCAUAGUGUAACCAAACAAAACCUUACUAAAAUAUUUUACCAAUGUAAUGAUUCUGAUCACACACGCAGAAUAACACAUCUAUAUCUCAACUAUCCACUGGAAAACAUAACCUGCGUUAUGUUUGGCUGCCGAGAAAACACAAGAAAAUACCAACAACAGACUGGAAAACUGAGAACAACCCAAGAUUGGGGUUACUGAAUUCUAAGUUACCCAACUCAUAGUUGUCUACUUUUGCUCAGCAUCCAAACAGAUUAAGGAAAUUCCAAAAACAACAAACAACACAAUCGAAGGUUUAACGUGAGUGCAGAUUAAGAAAUUAAAGAGUGAAAAUGCUAAGAUAAAAUGAUUAACUCACUUGCUGUGACAGAGAGAUCGCGACCCAACAGUUUGCUUGGCUUCUGCAAUAGAGAGGAAGCAGAAAGUUCGCUCCUUUUUUGUUCUUCUGGUUUUGGGGAGGUGGCGGGCGGUUGAAGCGUUUGAGCUCGAACUCCAGGGUGUUGGCAGGUGAACGAUCCACUGCGGCGAAGAAAUGCAUCACUGAAAGUCCUGAAUAACUUGAAGGGAGAUACUUCGCUCAUUCCCUUGGAUGCACAAUUUCUACUUACCUGCUAAUCACAGUUUGACACCAAGUACAAAAAAAAUGUUCUUGUGUUUUUAUAGUUGGGGUGGUAACUGAUUUUUCCGUUGGGACGUCGAUAUUAGGAAAAUAAGAGGUUAUUUUUCCUUUAUCUUGAAUCCUUCUCUCGUUGGCCAGUAUGAGAAAUAACCUCAAUGUGUGCACCACCACCACCAGUAUCGUAACCGGUAACAAAAGUCUGGACUUUUUCGUUUUAAGGAUCUGACAAUGUUUCCAAUUUCUAAGGACAUAGAAAGGGAUCCGGGGCCUUUAUGAUAGUAGAAAGGGGAGGGGGACGACCCGCUGAAUUCACAUUAGAAAUUGACAACGUCAACACAAACGAAAUCUUGAAUUGUGUAAUGAAACAAGAUGAACCACUUCUAUUCUCCAAGCUGAGGUAUAUGAAGAAUGGCUUUUUGGUCCCUUUCAUCCAGUGGUCAGGACAUUGUCUUUUCGUGUAGAAGAUACGGGUUCGAUUCUCGUGACGGAUAGGUAUUCAUUCCUGGCCGCUUUUGGUUAGUGUUCAUUGUUGAGUGAUCGCUCGCUAUUUGGCUAGAAAAGGUGGUAUGGAAGGCUUCUUCUCUCCAAAAAUUAACUUGGCUCCUCAAUUCGUAUGUAACCGAUUUACAAAACUUUAUGUUUAUGAUCGGAGCUGUUCAUAUUAUAAAUCGCUCUCUGUAAUAAUCAUCUCUGCAAAAAAAAUCAAUUAAAUAUGAAAUUUGGUCAUCCAAAUGUACAAAACAGAUGGAAUGAUUUGGUAAAAGAAUCAUGAACCAUUUAUCUAUUUGUUACUAUUGAUUAAUUAAACAACCUUAGUUCUAAUUGAGUUUUUAGAGAUGACCUUUACAAAGAUUUAUAAUAUAAACACGAAAAUUUGUAAAUCAACUGCUAAGUGAAUUGAGGAGGAACUCCUCAGUCUUGAGGAGCCAAGCCUUGGCUUUAUAUCAAUGAUGAGAGAACUCAUAUGGUCCUGUAGUUCAUUCAAUUCCAAUAGCCGAUGUUGACGCCAACGCCUCGGUGAAUGAAAGAGAACGGUUGUACCUCCAGCCACCGUAAAUCUCGUGCUUGCAUAACUGCAUUGGUGUUCAAUACAUUUUAGCUACUGAAUAACUUGAAGGAAAGUGCCCGGCUCCUUCAUUUGGAAUGUUAAAAACCUGCUAAUCAGAGUUUAACACUAUAUGUGAACUUUUAUUUUUGUGUAUGGCUUCACUUUCAACAACGUUAAUUAAGGCCCGCUCCUUGCAAAUCUUAUUGACCAAAAAAAAGGAAUAUGGCUUCUAAUUUCCAGUCAUUUUAAUUUUGUGAGCAAUGCUUUAGGUUUGUACACCUUUUCUUUUUGGAGUUUUUAUCACAAACGAUCUUUGAAAUUAACUUAACUCAACAUUUUGGUCUUUCAAUUUGAAAAUCAAUCAAUAUCGUCCCUGAAAUUUAUUACCAUACAUCUAUAUGAUCCUUGCCAUUUGAUUCUGUCAAAUUUUAUGUUAAUUUGAUGAAGUAGCAAACCCGGAGUCCACACAAUUAAUUUUUGAAAUUAAAAAAACUAGGAAAAGCUUGCGGACUAGACCCGGUAGUUUUUGAUACGACAUGGCGACACAACACAAAAACGACACGAAAAUAACGGGUUUCGAGUCAACAAGAUAACUUAUUGGGUCAUUAUCGGGUGACCCGUUAAUAACGGGUAUACACGCGAGUAACACGUGGGUAACCCGUUAAGAAAAAAUUUAUUUUGAUAAUUUUAAAGUUUAAUUACUAAAAGAUUUAUUAUAAAAUACAAUAGCCAUAUUAAUAUAUACAAUAUAUUCUAUAUUAAAUAUAUAGUUUUGUAUUAUUCUAUAUAAGUUUAAAAAAAAAAAAGUUGUAGUCAUUAUUUAUUUUUAUUAUGAGAGUCCCUUAUUAUCAUUACUAGGAUAAAUUUUACUUAACAUGUUGUUGUCCAAAAUUAAAAUAAACUAAUAUAGUAUUUGUAUAUGCAAGAACUAAGAAGACAUACAUACAAGUAUGAAAAAUGUGAGAGAAUAUAUAAACACUCGUGAUUCAUCAUUAUUCCUCCACGAGUAGAUAAUGGUUACACUUACAUUAUCGUUUAGAUUUUUAAAAUCCUCCAAACCUUCAUGAAUAAUGUUUUUUAUUUGAGGACAAAAUUAAUAAAAUUAAUAAUAAUUAUUGUAGAAGUGUAAAAAAUGUAAAAAAAAAAAAAUACAAUCACUCAUAGUGACAAACUUUACAAUUUUCAUGAAGGGGUUAGCUUCGAAAUUCAACACUAUAAUUCAUAAACCUUAAAUUUAUAUUUAACCGUCGAUUACCAUUUACGCUUUAUUCUUCUUACUGAAUUUCAUUUUUAAAAUUUUCUUUUUUGAAAACAUGAUCAUCUGGCGGAUGUAAGAAGAUGAACAGUUCAGAUCUUUGAUAUCACGUUUUGAUAUUUACGGUUAACUGAAAUAUGAGUCGAUCUCAUAUAGUUUGUAGAAACUUUAUAAACAUCAAGCAAUAUUUUCACUAACCGUAAAAUUAUGAAUAUAAUAUCAACGAUCCAAACCGUUAAUCUUCCUGCAUCAUCUAAUAGAUCAAGUUUUCAAAAAACAAAAUUUGAAAAAACAAAAUUUGAUGAGAACAAUGAAGAGUAAAUGUAAACAACAAUCAAUGGUUAAAUUUUGAUCUAUGAUUUAUAUAAUUAUAGUGGCGAAUUUCGAAGUUAAGCUCUUCAUAAAAGUUGUAAAGCUUGUCAUUACGAGUAUUUAUAUAUUUUUUUACACUUCUACAUUAAUUAAAUAACUAUUAAAGACUUUAUGUAAAUGAAAAUAUACUUAAAAGAAAAUUGCGUUUUUAUGUUUUGGAUGUGACAAUAUGAUAUGUAUAUACUUAUUUAGUAUUAUGUUUUUCAUUUGAUUAUUUAUUGGUUUAAAAUAUAUUUUCCUUAAUAGGUAACGGGUCAGGUCAUAUUACCGGUUUAUUUUAACGGGUGUUACACGACACAACCUAUUAAGAUAUCAGGUAUGACAUGAAAACGACACGAACAUGAAAAACACGAUAUGAAUGCCAGGUCUACUGCAGACUCUGUUGGCUGCUUCCUUUGCCUAGUUUUAUUAUUAGCACGUUUAGGUUAUUAGCUUUGAUUUUCCCAAAUAUAAUGCUGCACUGAAUUGCUUCUUAUCGGUGAGAUGAAUCUGAUAUAUGUUGUUGUUUCAGUAUUUGUUUUAGAUUUUUUCAUUUGCAUCGAGACACUUGUGUUUUCUUUUUUAGGUUUAUUUAAUUUCUAAAUAUAAGAAAAUUUAACAAGAUCAAGAGGCAAGGACCACAUUGAUAUACUGUGACCGGGGUCUUUGUGGUCCAAAAUAAUAAAAUGAUAAAUAACAGUAAAGUAAGGAUGAGACUUUUGGUAGUACCGGUGAACCAAAUGGCUACAGCGAUGGAAUUUGGGAUGGAUAUGUAGUAUCUCUCUAGAUCUAGCAAAGCAAAAGACCCCCUAACGUAAUUCGCAUGGGGGCUAAUCGUUAAGUUCACCCUAGCCUCGCAGGGCGGGCCCCCGCAGUCUCAAGCCAUAGCUUAUGGGAUAUUACAAUAACAACAAAGCCUUUUACCACUAAGUGGGGUCGGCUGUAUGAAUUCUAGAACGUCAUUGCGCUCGGUUAUGUGCCACGUCUUUCGUUAUAUCCAAGUACUCCAAGUUUUUUUUUUAGAGUCUCUUCCAAAGUCUUUCUAGAUCUUCCUCUACCCCUUUGACCCUGAACAUCUAUCUCGUAAUUACAUCUUCUAACCGGAGCGUCUGUAGGUCUUUGUUUCCCAUGCCCAAACCAAAGUAACCGAUUUUCUCUCAUCUUUCUCGUGUGCCCACACAUACAAUGAAGCAUUCUCAUCUCCACUACUCUCAUUUUAUAUACGUGUUGAUGCUUUACUGCCCAACAUUCGGUGCUAUAAAACAUUGUUGGCCUUAUUGAUGUCCUAUAAAAUUUUCCCUUGAGCUUUAGGAAGGACAUUGAUUAAUUUAAAUUGAAUGACCAAAAUGAUGAGUUAGAAGUUAUUUAGUACUACAGUCUGGUAAUAUUUCUUGUCACUUGUAAAUGAGAGGUCUUAAGUUCGAUUCUCACUAAAGACGAGCUUAAACCACAUUAUUGCUAGACUGCUAGUUCAUUAUGAGGUUAAACCAACCCUCUUUUUCUUAGUGUAGAUAAUAUUAUUUGUUAAAAAAUAAUGAGAUAGAAUGGACUCCAUAUAAUGGACGUUUAGGUCAAGUCAUUUUAUAUAAAUUUUAUGUUUUAAUUUUCUUAAAUAAUGACAAGUUAUUUGAUCUUAUCUUAAAUGUUUUCAAUGGCGUAUUGUGAAUCACGUGGCCAAGACUAUUAGUUGAACGUCUUAGGCUGAUGUUAAGUUUCAACAACCCUAGGCUGAUGUUAACUUUCAAUGACCUUAAUCAAGGUCUACUCUGUUAACCUUCAACAACCAUAAUAAUUAAGGCUUUACUCCUUGGAAAUCUUAUUGACCAAAAAUAACAUGGCUUCUAAUUUUCAGUCAUUUUAAUUUUGUGAGCAAUGCUUUUGAUGCAUUAGAUGUAAUCAGAAUAUCAAAAUAGCUUGUUCACUCUUCUAGGAGGCGUUAGACGGUUGACGAUCGUCCUGAUUAGUUCUUAAGCGUUUGAAAAUUAAGAAAUAACGCCUAGAUCUGCUUCAACGUCCGCCUAGCCCGGCUAAGGGCUAGUUUGGUAUUGCUGUGCUUUGAAAAAAAGCUGCUUCUGCUGUGCUGUGAGAAUAAGUAGCUGUGAAAUAAAACAGCAGAGUGUUUGGUAAACUUUUUGUAAAAGUGCUUUGGAAAAAAAUAACAGUAUUAUAGUGUUUGGUAAACUUUUAUGUAAAACAGAUGUGAAAAAAGCCGGUUUUUCAAAGCUGGGUUUUGCAGCUUCUUGUUUUUGACUUUUUUUCACCAAAAAUUGUGAAAAAAAACUGAAGCUAAAUGUUUACCAAACAUAAAAAUAGCUCCCAGCGUUUUUUGAUACCAGCUUUUUUUCAGAAUCACCUCAGUACCAAACCAGGCCUAAGCACCCGCCUAGAUUGUCUAGACCUACCUAGGUUGCAACUAUCACUUAAACAAAAAAUUGAUAACUUUCUUUUUGUAUUUUAUAUUUUCAAUAAAAUGUAAGAGACUUGUUGAAUAUUUGGAUGAACAUCCAUUAUAUAUUUAUUUCUCAUAUUUUCUAUAUGUUCUAAUACUAUGUAAUCUAUAUGUCAUUUUAUUUUGCAAUUUAUGUAUCCCAAUACAUUUAUGUGUUUUUUAGUAUAAAUAUGCAUUUAUUUAUAUGAUAUAUAAUAAAUUUCCUAAAUCCCCCUAGCCACUUAGGCGCUAGGCUCCAACACGUCGUCCAACUAGCACCUAGAGUCGUUUAGAACCUUGAGCCUAUUAAAGGUUCUAGUAAUUUUUUCUGGGUUUUUAUUACGUAGCUAAAAUAAAUAUAACUCAUCAUUUUGGUCCCUUACUUUAAAAAUCAAUUAGUGUCGUCCUUAAAAUUUACUACCACACAUUAAUGUGGUCCUUACUGUUUGAUUCCGCCAAAUUUUCUAUUAAUUUGAUGAUAUAGCAAACAUGGAGUCCACAGAGUCAAUUUUUGAAAUAUAAAAAAAAAAAAAAAAAAGGCAAAGUCUCCAGGCUCUGUUUGCUGCUUCCCUUGCCUAGUUUGAUUAUUAGCACAUUUAGGAUCCGUUUGUUGCGCCGGACUGUCUCGGACUGGACUGGCUUAGACUAGACUAAGCUGGACUAACUUAGUGAAGCGUUUGUUACAGUGUCAGACUAAGAAGUAGGAUAAUAAAAACAGUACUGUUCACCAGAUUUGUGUUUGCUUAGACUAGGACUACAAGUUUUUGCCAUUGUGUAAUAGAGUAAUGCUACAAAUCUCAUGAUAUGGGUUAAUUGGAGCAUAUUUUGCCAUGUAUAUUAUGAAUCUUAAAAAAAGAGGACAAUUGUUUUGUUUCUAUUACCUGCUAAUAGAAUUGGGACAUACUAUAGUUGGGACAUGCUAUUUAUAAAUAGUUGAGUUUAAUUUGCAAAUGUAGCUUGGUUUAAACUCUAUCACCCAAAAGAAGAAAAAGAAUAAUGCCCAAUACAUGCAACUUCAACAAAUACAAGUACAUAAGAAGAUACUUGUGACAAGUCAAUCUUUGCUAUUGAUUGACUCUUAAAAUAUCAUUCACUAAACUUUGAUCCAGGAUAUUUUACAAAAUGCCAGUGAACUAUAGUAUAGCAUUCCAAAGUAGAUCUCCAUAAUUUACAAAAUCCUAGUUAACAUUAGCCAAAAUACUUUAUAGUGCAAAGCUAAGUUAUAAGCCAUAACAUAAGAUUGUACGAUUAAUAAAAUACAUCCAUGUCAAAAGGCACCACAUAAUAUACUCAUCCGCUUGCUUUGUCGCUUAAAAGCCUUUGGACGAACACUUUCUUGAGUUCCGAUUUGAUUGCCUUGAACACUCCCACAUUUUGUGGUUUUUCCAAAAUAAAAGACAAUGCAUCAAUUUGAUCCAUAGGAGAAAGACCCAUUGGUUCAAGUUCGUUAGCUAUGUCACUAUGAUCUGCAGUACCUUGAAUUAAAGCUUCAGUUACCAUUUGCAUCCUCUUCCCACUUUCAACAUAAAAAUCUUUCAGUCCACUGAUAAUUGCCUCGGGUUCCAUCACUUGAACUUCCCGCAGCUCUUUUCCUCUUUCUUUGGCUAUUUUCAGAUGAGGUGCUUUGUUGGCUUUGUUGGUUCAUUGAAGAAACAAAAUUUUCACUUCCAAUAUCACUUGCACAAACUUUAUCAUGACUUUGUUCCUCCACCAUUUCAGCAGGGGUUUCGGCUACAUUACAUGCAGCCCGAUCUUUUCCAAAUAUAUAUGCAAAUUUAUCAUACAGUGGAAAAUGUUUGCUUCUCCAUCCAUCGACUUCUUUAUUUUUCUAAGAUUAUAUCAACAUAGCAAAACUAAAAUUUAGCAUGCAUAACAAAUACAGCGGCAAGAAUAUAACUAAUGUAUAAAUAAAAUAGGAUAUGAACCUGCACAUAAGUUUGCCAUGCGUCAUCACUGUCAACUUCAACGCACUUUUUGACAUCAUUCCAUGCAAAUCCACUUGUGUUUAUCAUGUCAACAACCAAACUAUAUGUUUUUUUUCCAUUUCUUCAACUUUGACUCAAUAUGUGGAGUUGCCUUUAUAUUGGAAUGAAGACAUAAAACAUUGACAACUUUCACUAUUUCAAUCAAAGUACCUUGUUUGAAAGCACCGGUGUCACACCGUUGCUUCCGAGCAAAAGGUAUAAAAUAUUGAUGAUAUCAGAAAUAUCGGUAGUCCAAAAACACAGAAAUUUCGAUGGAAAUAUCGGGAUAUUAUCGAUAUCGAUAAAAAUUGAAUAAAAACCACGGAAAUUGUAAGAAAAACUUGGAAAUUUUUAUUGAAACUUUGCAGGAUGUUUAUUUAGUCAAUUAUCUAUUAGUUUAUCACAAAAAAUUGGAAGGAAAUGCAUUGCAUGAUAGAUAUAACUGAUUUAAGUUGAUUAUAUAGCGAGCUGGCAAAUAUUGUGAGUGUAGAAAAUAUGUAGUAAUUAAUUAAAGAAGUUUAAACACACCAUAAUCAUUUAUAUAAUGAAUUAGUACAAUAUUUUACACUUUAUACAUUGCAUGGUAAGAUACAUGAGUGACUUAGCAAGGUCUAAAAUAUCGAUAAUAUUGGAAAUAUCGGUAAUCCAAAAAAAUAUCGGUAGUCCAAAAACACGGAAAUUUCGAUGGAAAUAUUGAGAUAUUAUGGAUAUUUUAGACCAUCAAAAAAAGCCUCAAGAACGGAUAGUAAUGCUUCUUCCUCAAAUGCUUCCCAUUUACGCAUUCUUCCUUUUGGCUCUUGAGUAGCAUUCAAAAUAUUGUCGUUAUCCAUACCUAAACAAAAAAUAUUUGAAUUUACUAAAAUACAAUACAAAUAAUCAAUUUGCAUAAUAUCCAAUUAAUUGGCAUACCAUCCAAUCAAUAAAAAAGUUUUAACAUUCAUUGAUGAGCAAUCUAAUCAUUUUGCUAAUAUCCAACAAAUGCAUGAUAAAAAUGAAUACUAAAAUAAAAUGUUAUCAUUAACACAUAUAACUAGUUCGGUUGUUGGUUCCUAAUUGCUCUCCACUCAUUAUACAUUUUCUGAGCCAUGGCAUUCCUCUUUGUAGUCCACUAGUAAGAUGUUUCAACACUACCAACAUAUUCACCUUCUUCUGUAUUUUGUCCAUCUUCUAUUAUUGGCAAAUUCUCCAUUGGAUCUACAGACAUCUCUUGCCUAAUAAGAUUGUGUAGUAGGCAACAAGCAGUAAUUAUUCGACCUUGUGUCCUUAUCGGAUAGAAAGAUGGACUCCUUAGUAUCGACCACCUUCCUUUUAGCAAGCCAAAACAGCGUUCAAUUACAUUCCUUGCCUUAGAAUGCUUCAUGUUAAAAUAUUCUUCCUUAUUAGAAGGUGUCCGUCCCUCCCAUUCAGAUAAAUGAUAAGGUAUUCCUCUAUAGGGUGCAAGGAAUCCUUCACCAUUUGUAUAACCAUCAUCUGCAAGGUAAUAAUAACCUAAUAAAAAAGCAGACCUUAUUAACGUUUUGUAGUUGACAAACAAAACUAGACCUAACUUACAAAGUUGAGACUAACUAAUAGUCUUACCCGCUGGUACCUUAAAACCAUUAGGCCUAUUAAUUGCAUCAUGUAGCAUUCUAGAGUCUGAUGCCGAACCCUCCCACCCCGGAAACACAUAUAUGAACUGCAUAUCUCCUGAACACACACCUAACACAUUAGUUGCGACUCGACCCUUUCUUGUUAGGUAUCUUGGUUUGUCAAUUUCAGGUACAUGCACAUCAAUGUGUGUUCCAUCUAAUGCUCCCAAGCAAUUCUAAAAAAAAAAUAAAAAAAAGCUUUUGCUAAUUUAUACAAAGGGAAUGAAGAGUUAAAGCUUAGGGAAAAUGAAAAAAAAAUUAUCAUCAUACCUUAAAACAUCGCCACCUAGGAUUUGUAGAAUCAAUAGGCACAUGCUAAGGGACUUUUAGUAGGAUACCUUGUAAUCGCAAAAUUCCUUGCAAUACGCUAUUGAAAUACCUACUUAUAGUCUCUCCCGACCUAUAAAAUCUACCGCCAACACUACGAUUCUUAGUAUGAUGUGCUAAUAUUUGUAAAGUCAUACACACCUGCUUCUCUACAAACACCAAACCAUCCGUUUUUACCCUCCCAUCUUGACGAAGUAAUUCACAUAAUAUGCUAAAAGUCCUUCUAUCCAUUCUCAAUUCGUUGACACAUUCAAUAUCAGUAUUCCCUAUUAUACCAUUCAGAUAACACAAACUAAUCUCUCGUUUAACAAGUGAACGGUUAGUCAAAGUGCGUCGUUCAACAUGUCUCUAUUUGGCCCUUAGCAUCAGUAACACAAGAAUCGUACAAAUGCAAAUUGUCUCUAAAUGAGACAUUUGUAACAAUAAGAUCAAUAAAAGCUUCAUUCGCUCCAUAUCUAUCCAAACAAAAAAAAAAGAAAACAAAAAAUAAGGACAUUAUAUAUGCAGAAUACACACACACACACACAGAGUACACACAAACACACACACACAGAGAUUACACACACACACACACACACACACAGAUUACACACACACACAUAGUACACACAAACACACACACAGAGUACACACAAACACACACAUACACAUAAAAAUUACACACACACACACACAUAUAGAUUACACACACACACAAAUUACACACACACAGAGUACACACAAACACACACAGAGUACACACAAGCACACACACAGAGAUUACAAACACACACACACACACACACAAAUUACACACACUCACACACACACACACACAUAUUACACACACACACAUAGAUUACACAUACACACACACAGAGUACACACAAACACACACACACAUAUUACAUUCACACACAGAGAUUACACACACACACACACAAAUUACACACACACAAAGAUUACACACACACACACACACACACACAUAUAUUACACACAAACAGAGUACACACAAACACACACACGCACAGAUUACACACACACACACACACACACACACACACACACACACACACACACAGAGUACACACAAACACAUACACACACAGAUUACACACUCAUACACACACACAAAGUACACACAAACACACACACACAGAUUGCACACACACACACACAAAUUACACACACACACACACAUAGAUUACACACACACACACAUAAAGAUUCCACACACACACACACACAAAUUACACACACACACACACAGAGAUUACACACAUAUACACAGAGAUUACACACAUGCACAAAGAGUACACACAAACACACACAAACACACACACACACACAGAGUACACACAAACACAUACAAACACACACACACACACACACACACAUAGAUACAUACACACACACAGAGUACACAAACACACACACACACACACAUGCACAGACACACACACACACAGAGUACUCUCAUUGUUGAAACCCCAAAUUUUAAAAUCGAAAACAGCAUGUGGGUAGGAAUUUCAAGUUUCACAACUUUGACAUCCUAAAUUCCCAAGUUCCAUCUCAUCUUAUGAAAACCCCAAAUUCUAAUCUCAAAUUCACCUAAAUAUCAAAACCCUAAUUUGUUCAAGUGCAGAGGUCUAUGAUUUAAAAUUUCUCAAACCCAAAACAACAAAAUUAAAUAAAGCUCAGUUAAUAUCACAAACUAAUCCACACAAAUCGACGAAAUAAAUCGAAGAUUCGAAGCUUACCAGACAACUCGAGGCAGAUGAGGGCGAGCAGCUGCAGAUGAGCGAAGACGCAGCGAUGAAAGUGAGGAGGAUGACGAUGAGGGAGCACGGCAAGGACGACGAUGAGGGAAGACGUCGAGAUGAGGACGAUGAAGGCGAUGAAGGAAGACGCAGAAAAUCUCUCGUGUUUUCUUUGGCUUAUGAGUCUGUCCAAAAUUGGGGAUCCUCGUUAAGAACGGCUAAGGAGGUGUUUAAUCCGGGCGAAUCCCUGCUAAGCUCAUUAAAGCUAAUCCUAGUGCACACCAAACAAAUAACUACAGUCUAGUCCAGUCCAGUCUUUCUUAAUCAUGUCAAACAAAUGGGCCCUUAGGUUAUUAGCUUUGAUUUUCCCAAAUAUAGCUAAAAAGGAUGAUGUGUUGAAUUGCAUCUUAUAUCAACGAGAUGAAUCCAAUAUAUGUUGCUGUUUCAAUCUUUGUUUUAGAUUUUUUAAUUUGCAUUAAGAGACUUGUGUUUUCUUUUGUGGUUUUAUUUAAUUUCUAAAUUAUUUUGUUAGUUCCUAAAGAUUUUUUAAAUUUCAAAAAAUUAAUUUUUUCCAUAUGAUCCAUGUUGUGGAGCCAAAAAUAAUCACAAGGCGACACGUGGAUUUUUGGGUAAAAGAUGACAAAAAUAUCCUUGAGGCAUACCGGGAUUCCUACGCGCGAGGAGCGUACAAUCAUUUGUCAAUCAAGUCAAAAGUGUCCAAAAUAGGUAACCAAAUCAAAGAUAUUCUCAUCCAUCCUAAUCUUAGAUAAUUAUUUUAUAACCUACAUAACAUUACAUUUAAGUGGAGGUUAAUUGGCUAAUUAAUCCAUUAAUCACCAAUUAAAUCACCUUCAAAGCAACAAGCUCAGAAUCCAACCUCUUGAUCUCCUCGGCUAAGGAAUAAGCUUCAACUGCCAUAAUCUUCGCCACCUCCUUGACAACUUUGCUAUAUAUGCAUCAUAGCAAGCAGAGCAGUCCUUUUAUAGUGGGUCGUAUGUUUUGCAAAGGAACUUGGGCAAACAACCUUUCUACCGCUAUCAACAAACUUGGCACAAGCGUUCAUGACUUCAAGCAGAUAUAGUUUUAAAAGCAUACAGAUCUCAGCAGCCUCCCCAGAAGCAGGCUUAGUGGAUUUCUCACAACUGCCCACACGAGCAGUAUCUUCCUUCCUAGCAGGCGAAUCAGUCUCAGCAGCAAAGGGAGUGGGCCUUAGCGCCACUUUAGCAACAGAGUCCACCUUACCACUUUUCAUAAUAGCAAGUUUCUCUAAAGGUGAACCAGAGAUCAACCCAGCAUUCUAGCAGGCAGGAGGCCUGCAUGCCCAGCAUUCCAGCAAUCCAUGAGGCCCACGACCUCCUAAUUUCUUUCAGUCGCCAGCUUGGCCUGAGUAAGGUCUAAGAGCCCCAAGGACAUGAGCCAUGUGGCUCGCCUAGCACUGCGCCCCAACGCCACAAUCCGCAGCCCCAACCGCACAAGUUGCCUUUGGCUUUAGCCAAGCCAAACAGGCCAAGCAGUGACCCUUGCCACGAAGCCUCCUCAUCCCAUGCCGAGCCGACUCCUGGCCCCUGCCAGCCGACAUGCUGCACCACCCCGACGGCUGCCCCGCAAUAGCACUAUCCAAGAAGAAGACAAGAAAAAAUUAAAUUUUUCUUACAUUGGUGCGGCACGGAGAAGACGAAGAAAUCAACGAAAGACGGUCAUUUGCAAGAUGUAGAAGAUUGCUAGAGGAGGGGGAACAAAUAUCAUCUAAGCUCUCUCUCUCUUGUAGGGUAGAAUAAAUCGCUCUCCAAAGUUGAUUUAAUAACCCACUUAAGGUGGACUUAAAUAGGCUUUGAGAGAAAUUUAUUUCCCUUUCCUAGAAUGACCUAAUUUCCUAUUAAAGAGAGAAUCUACAUCAAAAUAGGAAGCAAUCCUACAUUUCCUAAAGCAAGAUGAUCUCUACACCUGCUGCCCUUUCCUAUGAGGAGCCCAACAAGUGUGGGGGCAUUUGUGGAGCCAAAAAUAAUCACAAGGUGACACGUGGAUUUUUGGGUAAAAGAGGACAAAAAUACCCUUGAGGCAUACCGGGAUUCCUACGCGCGAGUAGCGGACAAUUAUCCGUCAAUCAAGUCAAAAGUGUCCAAAAUAGGUAAUCAAUUCAAAGAUAUUCUCAUCCAUCCUCAUCUUAGGUAAUUAUUUUAUAACCUACAUAACAUUACAUUUAAAUGGAGGUUAAUUGGCUAAUUAAUGGAUUAAUUCCUAAUUAAUCCAUUAAUCACCAAUUAAAUCACCCACAAAAUAUACCCAAAAAUCCCAAAGGGCCGGCCACCCUUGUUGAUCUCAUCAUAUUUACCUAUUUUAUCACAUUAAUUAGCUAGUUAAUUUGGCAAUAAUUUUAUUUGCUAAAUUAAUUAGUCAAUUAUUCUCAUAACUCCUAAAUUCAACCUAAAUCAAGAACCCUAUCCCUAUAAAUAGGCUCUUAUUCUCACCAAAAACCUAGGUCCUUACUCUUGCUAAAAUUCUCCAAAGCUCUCAAACACUUUUAUCUCAAAAUUCUAACUUUGGCAUCGGAGGUUCUUCGGUCAAAGCCCCACCCAUUCAUCGUGGGCGCUUGAGGCUCUUGGCCUUAACCUAAGGUGUUAUUUGUUUUGUAGGUGCAAUUUUGUCCAAGAUCAAGGAGGAAGAAAUUUGCAUCCACAAAUUGGUGCUUUCAUUGAGAGGUGAGAUCCAUACUCAUAGAAGACUCUCGCAUAAAAAGGUUUUUCUAUUUUCUAGUCCAUUUGAAUAUUUUUCAUACGUUCUUAUUAUUAGAAAUUUUUAUUUGCAAAGGUUCUUUGAUAAAAUGUAUAAGAAAAAUAUAAUGGCUAGAAAUUUAGAAAAUUCCACAAGUGAAAAUUCUAAUACUCAAGAAAUGGGUCCGCGGCGAUUUACGAGGCUAAAUGUGGUCAUAGGCGAAGUGGUACCACCACUACGAGGUUCCACCAUGGCCCAAGACGUGUCAUCCAAGCUUGCACGGGCCCGAGCCCAAGCCUGGCAUUCACAUGCAUCACGCACUGAGCAGCCUGUUCUCAUCGAGCAGCCCACUUCCGUGGCCCAACCUGCUCCUACCGAGCAACCUACUCUCACGGUCCAGCCUGCUCCCGACGAGCAGCCCACUCCCGUGGCCCAGCCUGUUCCAGCCGAGUAGCCUGCUUUCGUGGCCCAGCCUGCUCCCAACGAGUAGCCCACUUUCGUGGCCCAGCCUGUUCCCGCCGAGCAGCCCACUCUCGCGGCCCAGCCUGCUCUUGUGGCCCAGCCUGCUCCCACGACCCAAUCUGCUCCCGUGGCUUUCCAAGCAGCCCAAGUCGGCCCAAGACUAUCUCAACUAUCUGGACCUACCAUCAAGCUGGGAGCAUUUUCACCACAUUUCUUCGUGGAUUUGAUAUUUCCCAACUCAAAUCUCGCACCCAGAGCCUACCACACUUCCACUGCUCAAUGAGGCACAUUCCUUCCAAGUUCUUCCAAUCUAAAUGGCAAACAACACUUGUCUCAACAAGUCAUAGAGUUGACGAACGUCCUUGCACAAUAGAUAACCUUGGUGAAUCAACUCUUGCAACGCACCGAGAUCCAACGUGCCUCGGACAAGGUGUCCCGAAGUAGGACAAGGGCAAAUGAACCUUUCCAUUAGUGUCCCGGUAAGUAGCCUAUCAACUAGCCACGAUCUGAGCGUUCUGGCAGUUUACGUACCCGAUUGGGCCCCCGAGAUAGCGUAAACUCCCAUCUUAGAGCGCGAAGGAGCAUGCACUCUCGACUAAGCCCACAAACGAGUAUAUUCACAGUUGGGCUUACACUCCGAUAGUCAACAUAAGCAACCUUCCAAGCGAAGUGUUCAUUCGCGGCUAAGCUCUCAAGGAGCAUCAUCCACCUCACAUCGGAGUAGGCAGCACGACAGACGGAGAGAAACAGUCACUUAAUACGGCUCAAGUUCAACCGGCAGCCUGCGAAGAACUCGUUCGCCUGCUAGGAACGCGCUACACGCACCGCAUCUGGGGCAUAGACGAGCCAAAUAUAUGGAAGAGCAGCCUAGACCAGCAAGUCACGGUUGGGGGCAGCCGAGAGCUCCAUUACCUUAACAAAGGCAAAUUCAUGAAGAAGUAGAGAGACUCUUGACCAAGCGAUUGCGCACUUUCCAAGCGAUCUUGAAUAUGAAGUUCCCCACUACUCUGAAGGAGAUUCAAAGUCUGACUGGACGAGUAGUCACAUCUGAAGUAGCAAGAAGCUCUAUCAUCAUACGAGAAAAGCUCAGGGCCCGACUACCUGUAUUAUACAGUUCAAAAGCUCUCCUUGAUGUUAUUAAAAAUUCAAAAGCUAACUUUGACGAUAGUUGUUGUAACCCAGAAGCUCAAGUUUUACCUUUAAACGCAUGUAGUUAUCCUUAUGACGCAUUAUUUUGCCCAAUCCAGACACACGACGAUAAAGGCGUAAGAUCCUGGCGAAUGCAAAGUUUUCUAACGAACACAACAACUCGGCCUAAAAGACACGCCAAGGGCAAACGAACACUAGAAUGACACACUCGGAAGCAAGUUUUGUCCUCGUCGCCCCAAAAGAUUUUACAUAGGAGCAACAUGUACUUGCAGUCAAACACCACUUCCUACUACGUGUCACACGGUCCUAGCUGACCCUUGCUUUAUAAUUCAACUUUACAGUGGUCCAAUACCAGCAGUUAAGCAUCUUCUACUGCAUGUAACAUGGCCCCAGCUCCACGGCUUCCUACCACGCAUUUAUGACGCAAUAGAGCGGCCCAACGACGUCUCGGAAGUAGCCGAGCACAUUCUAUCAGCACCUGCUCCACCCGAUGGAGACUUCUGGCAUUUGCAUGUCGACAUCGCAUCCAACUACAAAGGUUCAGGAGCAGACGAUCAUUCUAGGUUUCAAAGCAUCUAACAACGAAGCAAAGUACGAAGCCCCACUAGCAGGCCUUCGAAUGACAAAAGACUUGGCGGUGAAAAAGCUUUCAAUCCAUUUCGAUUCCCAGCUAAUCACCAGCCAAACUACUAGGGGCAAAUGCAUGAUGAUCGUGGCAACUGACUACUUCACCAAAUAGGUAGAAGCAGAGCCCAUGACGACCACGAUUCAAACGGACAUAAAGCGAUUCAUAUGGAGGAACAUCAUUUGCUGAUUUGGCAUCCCUUAAUCCAUCAUCACCGACAAUGGCUCGCAAUUUGUGGGCAAAGAUUUGGUAAAGUUAUUUAAAAAAUAUGGCAUCAAACAGCACAUGUUUACGCCAAGAUAUUCUCAAGGCAAUAGGUGGGCCAAAGUAUCCACCAAGAUGAUCCUCGAUUGCCACAAAAAAUGCCCCACCAGUAAGAAAAGAAAAUGGUCAGACGAACUCUAUGGAUAUCUAUGUGCAUAUCGCACCACCAAAAGACGAGCAACCGAAAGAAGAUGGCCACAAGCUUAAAUCUGGCAUAGGAGAAAUGCGAGCAGACUAUCACCCGCAUCACAGCUUACCAGCAAUAGUUUCUUUCCAGCUACAACAAAAGGGCCAAGAUCCGGAAGUUGCAGCCCAGAGAUUUAGUCCUAAGAAAAGCCUUCAUCAUUGCCCACAGAGAAGGCUCCAAAAAGAUAGAUCUCAUCUGGAAAGGUUCAUACAUGAUCAGCAGAGUAGGUGGCAAGAGUAAUUACACCCUCGCCACCAUGAAACGAUAAAAAGAUCGAAAAGUAGUGGAGCGCCUACAAGCUGAAGAAGUAUCAUGUGUGACCUCCUACUACAUCAAAGCCCGAAGAUUCAAGAAUCUCAACGGGCACCACCUCACAAGCCGAGGACUAUCCAGUUGUUAUGCAGUUCCUACCUUACAACUAAGUUCUCGUUCGUUUCACUCGUUUUUCAAUGAGGAAUUCAGAAGUAAUCACAACUUGGCUCGGCUGCAUGCUUAGAACAACUGAUCACUCCUGCACUUCAAAAAAAGACUGCGCCCUUCUUAAGGACUCAUUGCAGGAAUUACAACCCCCGAGAGACCAACCAUGCUCUCCAGUGCGAUAAGGUAAACUAAUUGCUCUCCAGUGCGAGAGGGUAAACCAAUUCCCUGACACCUAUAUGGGUCAGCUCUCCAAGAUGAGAGGAUUAAACUCUACACUCCUAAUAUCCAAACGUGGAUGAACUUGGCUGCCCUAGUAUAACUAGAUGCACGAUAGCUUGCACUGGGAUUCCUAGAAGUAGCCACAAUGGUCUUUUUCAAGGUUUAGCUAAUUGAAGGAUUUUGGGUCUCUUGGCUUAAUCCGCUAAGACCCGGGCCCUAAAGACGGAGGGGGCACAUUACGCAGUACUCCCUGCAGACGGCUGCCCUGGAACCCUAAAGCUGCUACCAAGUGCACUAAGGUAGCCUAUGGAUUCCGGAAGACUGCCUACGGCUUGCCUUUCGAGCAGUAAAGUCACGCUAGACUUAUACAACCGCACAUUAUUGUGAUAGGUUAAACAAGCUAGCGCGCAUAUACGAAGUUUUAUCCAUUGCCGACAUGUUACGUAGUCGAUAAGCUUCACCUCUGCCAAGCGCAGAACAACCUACACCAAGUCCUAAAGUGUUGUGAUACUUGCUACGCAACCUACGAAAUUGGAAAAAGUCAAGGUUAACAGCCUAGUGGUUACGCGGACUUGUCUGCUUCUGUAAGUAAGGCAUCCGGCUGCUAACCCUAUGGCUAACAACUUUGCAAAGUUCUACACCAACACCUAUGGCUGCAUAGGCUACGCGAGCUUGUCUGCUUAUAAAAAAGUAGCAUGCCUACCACUGGUCUAUCAAGUCUAAAGGCUAGGGCAUGAACAAAAUAAGCGAAGAUAAAGAAAAACGAAGGAAAUCAUGUUUAUAAACAACUAGCAAAGGCCAAAGGAGUUCAAGCAAAACAUGAGCUACAGGGAAAAACAAAGAAAAUCCUAAAGGCUACUUAGAAUACUACACUACAGCAGCUUGGACAUCCCACAACUACUCGGUCGCCACACCUUCAGUAGCCAUAAUGCUCUUAGCAACGGCAUCAUCUGGCGUUUCACCCCUGGUUGCCCCCGCCUGGGCACUAACUUCUCCAACUACUUCACCAAUGGAAGCCGUAAAAGCAAGCAAGUCUUCUGGAGAAAUAGAAAAGGUCUCGAAACCUCAAGCCCAUCAUUUUCACCCUUCAGCUGCUCAUUCUUCUCAAGCAGACUAACACGGAUGCGCUGCAGCUCAUCCACUCCCUUCUUAGCAUAAGCAGCAAUUAACUCUUCAUCCUUUGCAUAAGCAGCGAAAUGAAGCUCAUAAACUGCAAAGUCAAGAUCUUUAAUCUGAGGUAUGUAACAUUCAAUCUCAUUCUCUGCACUUUCAUACUUAACUUGGAUCGCGUCAAGCUUAGUCUUCAAGUUAAUGAUCUUGUGGCGAGCGGUCUCAAGCUGCAGAGAAGUGGGGACAGAAAUAUUAGACCCCUUCAAAGCAACAAGCUCAGAAUCCAACUUCUUGAUCUCUUCGGCUAAGGAAUAAGCUUCAACUGCCAUAAUCUUCGCCACCUCCUUGACAGCUUUGCUAUAUAUACAUCAUAGCAAGCAGAGCAGUCCUUCUAUAGUGGGUUGUAUGUUUUGCAAAGGAAUUUGGGCAAACAACAUUUCUACCGCUAUCAACAAACUUGGCACAAGCGUCCAUGACUUCAAGCAGAUAUAAUUUUAAAAGCACACAUAUCUCAGCAGCCUCCCCAGAAGCAGGCUUAGUGGAUUUCUCACAGCUGCCCACACGAGCAGUAUCUUCCUUCCUAGCAGGCGAAUCAGUCUCAGCAGCAAAGGGAGUGGGCCUUGGCGCCACUUUAGCAAUAAAGUCCACCUUACCACUUUUCAUAAUAGCAAGUUUCACUAAAGGUGAACCAGAGAUCAAGCCAGCAUUCUAGCAGGCAGGAGGCUUGCAUGCCCAGCAUUCCAGCAACCCAUGAGGCCCACGACCUCCUAAUUUCUUUCAGUCGCCAGCUUGGCCUGAGUAAGGUCUAAGAGCCCCAAUGACAUGAGCCACGUGGCUCGCCUAGCACUGCGCCCCAACGCCACAAUCCGCGGCCCCAACCGCACAAGUUGCCUUUGGCUUUAGCCAAGCCAAACAGGCUAAGCAGUGGCCCUUGCCACGAAGCCUCCUCAGCCAUGCCGAGCCGACUCCUGGCCCCUGCCAGCCGACAUGCUGCACCACCCCGACGGCUGCCCCGCAAUAGCACUAUCCAAGAAGAAGACAAGAAAAAAUUAAAUUUUUCUUACAUUGGUGCGGCACGGAGAAGAUGAAGAAAUCAACGAAAGACGGUCAUUUGCAAGAUGUAGAAGAUUGCUAGAGGAGGGGGAACAAAUAUCCUCUAAGCUCUCUCUCUCUUGUAGGGUAGAAUAAAUCGCUCUCCAAAGUUGAUUUAAUAACCCACUUAAGGUUGACUUAAAUAGGCUUUGAGAGAAAUUUAUUUCCCUUUCCUAGAAUGACCUAAUUUCCUAUUAAAGAGAGAAUCUACAUCAAAAUAGGAAGCAAUCCUACAUUUCCUAAAGCAAGAUGAUCUCUACACCUGCUGCCCUUUCCUACGAGGAGCCCAACAAGUGUGGGGGCAUUUGUGGAGCCAAAAAUAAUCACAAGGUGACACGUGGAUUUUUGGGUAAAAGAGGACAAAAAUACCCUUGAGGCAUACCGGGAUUCCUACGCGCGAGCAGCGGACAAUCAUCCGUCAAUCAAGUCAAAAGUGUCCAAAAUAGGUAAUCAAUUCAAAGAUAUUAUCAUCCAUCCUCAUCUUAGGUAAUUAUUUUAUAACCUACAUAACAUUACAUUUAAGUGGAGGUUAAUUGGCUAAUUAAUGGAUUAAUUCCUAAUUAAUCCAUUAAUCACCAAUUAAAUCACCCACAAAAUAUACCCAAAAUCCCAAAGGGCCGGCCACCCUUGUUGAUCUCAUCAUAUUUACCUAUUUUAUCACAUUAAUUAGCUAGUUAAUUUGGCAAUAAUUUUAUUUGCUAAAUUAAUUAGUCAAUUAUUCUCAUAACUCCUAAAUUCAACCUAAAUCAAGAACCGACAUGAUUCUCUGCAGUUCACGGUGGUGAGAUGAAAAAAUGAAAGAGAACCGACAUGAUUUUUUGUGUCGUUUCCCACAGACGGCGCCAAAUGUUGAUGCACAAAACCGGAUGGUCUUGGUACAACGUAAAUCCGACCGUGAAUCUGCAUGAAAUGUAAAUGACACAAGAGUUAUCGUGGUUCACCCCAAGGUUUGGGCUACGUCCACACUGAUUGUGUAUUUAUUUGAGGGAAUAGAGAGGGAGAGGGUGAGAGCUUCUGAGAGCUUCUGAGGGUGAGAGAGGGGAUCUCAGGCCUAGGAAUUGGCCUCUCAGAGUGAGAGUGAUGCCUCCCUAGAAUGAGGGGAGGAGUCCCCUUUUAUAGAAUAAGGGGCUCCUCCUCCUUUACAAAGUAUGGGCUUUAGUGUGAGGCCCAAAUACAAGGCCCAAGGCCCAAAUAUACGAGGCCCUAAAUAUGGUAUAAACAGUAGUCCCCCAAGUCUUCAGUCAAGAGAGUCUUUUGGCUGGAGACUUGAAAUUCAGUCCAUGUGUGGGCCGAAGUAACUAGAUGCUGUCUUGAACUGAUGCUCGAUAUGAGGCGGUGCCCAAUCUGAAAUGACGCUCAACUAGAAGUAGCACACGCUGUGAGACUGCUCGGCUCGUGGCUUAUGUUGCCUUGGCUAGCUCGGUUUGCGGCGUUGAAGGUGAGGGAGUCCCUUUUAUAGAAUAAGGGCUCGUUCCUCAAUACAUAAAUGAUGGGCUAGAGUUGAUGCUCGCGGCGAGGCGGUUGCUCAGCUGGCGGCGUUUCUCUCUAAUGAAGGUGAGGGAGUCCCUUUUAUAAAAUAAGGGUUUACUCCUCAGUACAUGAAUAAUGGGUGCUCUCUAAUGAAAGUGAGGGAUUCCCUUUUAUAGAAUAAGGGCUCACUCCUUAAUACAUAAGUGAUGGGCUAGAGUCCCCCAAGUAUUUUUCAUGAGUGCUCUCUAAAAGUGAAGGAGUCCCUUUUAUAGAAUAAGGGCUCGCUCCUCAAUACAUAAGUGAUGGGCUAGAGUCUCCCAAGUAUUUUUUAUGAGGCCCAGUUGAGGCCCAAUAUAUGGUACAUAAUGUAGUCCCCCAAGUCUUCGGUCAAUAGAGUCUGUUGGCUGGAGACUUCAAAUUGAAUCCAUGUAUGGGCCGAAGUGGCGGUUGGUCGAAUGCGGUAUUUGUAUACCCUGCACUGAAGCUUUGUAGGUGAAGCUUUGUAGGUGAAGCUUUGCAAGUGAAGCUUUGAAGCUAGAGCUCUGUAAAUGAAGCUUUUGAAGCUAGAGCUUUGUAAAUGAAGCUUUUGAAUCUAGAGCUCUGUAAAUGAAGUCUUUGAAGCUAGAGCUCUUGUAAAUGAAGCUUUUGAAGCUAGAGCUCUGUAAAUGAAGUCUUUGAAGCUAGAGCUCUGUAAAUGAAGCUUUUGAAGUUGAUUGAUAUGAGUGAUGCUCAUGAAUGUUUAUGUUGAUUGACAUGAGUGAUGCUCAUGAAUGUUGUUAUGAGUGAUGCUCAUGAAUGUUAACAUGAGUGAUGCUCAUGAAUGUUGACAUGAAUGAUGGUCAUGAAUGUUUAUGUAUGAUUGUCAUGAGUGAUGCUCAUGAAUGUUUAUGUAUGAAUGACAUGAGUAGUGCUCAUGUAUGAUUUGGAGUACUAGGCGUACUUUUGAUCACCUGGUUGGUGUUAUUUUGGGCUUGUCGUUGUUCUUCCUUUUUUUUUUUUUUUUUUUUUUUUUUUUUUUUUUUUUACCCUCUGAUGGGGUUUAUACAUAUGUCUCCGAAAGAUAAUAAAUUACAUCAUUCUGGUAGAAUGUUUAUUCCUUACUUUUGUUUUUCUCUUUCUUUUCUACUUUUCUUUUGUAAUUAUCUCAGUGGGUAGCCAUAUUUUCUGCUUUGCUCUUUUACUUUGCUUUGCUUUUGCUUUCCACUUUUUUUUUUUUUUUUUUUUUUUUUUUUUUUUUUUUUUUUUGACCCUCUGAUGGGGGUUUAUACAUAUUACCCUUUGAUGGGGUUUAUACAUAUGUCUCCGAAAGAUAAAUUACAUCAUUCAAAAAUAAAGGUUUCGACAGUUGCGUUUGUGCGUACUAGGCCUCUCUUUCUGUCUCUGUCAUGCAUGUGCACCCAAUUUAAUCAUUAAUAUCUUCUUUACCGAUUAUCCCUUACCACUUGCGGUCCUACUCAUUCAAAUCAUAAUCUCUCAGAUUUUAUUCUCUUUUCUGCUUUGCUCUUUUUUCUUUUGCUUUUGUUUUCUGCGUCUCUUUCAUUGUUUCUCCACCUCCACUCUCUCUGGCAGACUUGCUUUUGCUUUUGCUGACUUGCUUUACAGCAAACACAUUUAGCUUUUCCAUGUGGGUGGUCGAAAAAAAAACCAACCAGAUUCAUCAUUUCCGAUGGCAUCACCGACAGAAACGGUUCGAGCGUUUGCAAAAACCUGAUCUGGACAUCUGAGAAGCAGGGAUAUUUCGAGAUCUGAAUCUCAAAGAUUGACCAAAACCUUCAAACCUUAACAGCAGUUGAGCUACGCAGCCAUUGUUAUGAAAACAAAUUCAGAUCUUGCAACAACUGCGGCUUAGAGACUGACUAAUGGAGCAGCUUCCAUGGAAGAAAUGGGGGAGAUUACCCAAACAGCGUGGUUUGGCGUCGGAAUAGCUCGACUUCGAGAACGUAAAAGCUUCCUGCGAUCUGCGUGAAACGGGUCAUCCUCUAGAGUUCAAAAAAGCUCCGUGAAGGAUGAGUGAAACUCGGGUAGGACAGAGUCGCGACUCGACUUGAGGAGGUAGAGAACGACCCGCUUCAGCUUGUCGUGCUUCGGUUCUAACGGGUCGAGGUAGGAGAGGAUGCGGUAGCCGCCGGUACCGAAAUCUUCUCUGUUCUCCUUCUUCUUCACUGCCUCCGAAACCCAAACCUUCUCUUCCAGCACUACUCUUCCAUACGAAUCCGAAAUCUUUGGUAGCACAUUCGCAUCGUAAUCGUACUCGCUCAGAAUCACGCCGUUGUACGCCGCGUAAUCGGAUUGUAUUUGUGUGGAGAUCUUCUCCAUCGUCAUAGGAGGGACCAUCACCAGCUCCGGCUCCAUUUUCGGAUGAGAAUCUUCGGGUGUUGGGUGGAGCUUGGAGGAGGCGACGAUGCUGAUGAUGAUACAAUUAAUGAGUAUGUAGAGAUACGGCGGUCUGAGCCAGGAGAUGGCGGAGCUCUAGAGAGAAGGAACUUGGGAGGUGACGGUGUCGGCGACCAAUGGAGAUGAGAGUUUCAGCCCAACGGCCAUGGAGACCACGCCAGUGGAGAUCAGCGCAACCUUAAGAGUGAGUAACCAGUUGUUGCUCGCGCUCGUCGACAUAUUUAUCAGAAUGUUGCGAAUUGAUCAGAAUCUUUACCUUUUCCGGCUAGAGUUUUGUUUGGCUCCCUGUCUCUGUCUAUUCUUCCUCUUCUUGCCAACCUUGUCCAGGCCCAUAAACAGCAGCCAUAUGCUUCCCCUUGACCCAGCCCGAUCUCUCUCUCCAUUGCCCAACUUGUAUUGUUUUGAUUCUCUGCAGUUCACGGUGGUGAGAUGAAAAAAUGAAAGAGAACCGACAUGAUUUUUUGUGUCGUUUCCCACAGACGGCGCCAAAUGUUGAUGCACAAAACCGGAUGGUCUUGGUACAACGUAAAUCCGACCGUGAAUCUGCAUGAAAUGUAAAUGACACAAGAGUUAUCGUGGUUCACCCCAAGGUUUGGGCUACGUCCACACUGAUUGUGUAUUUAUUUGAGGGAAUAGAGAGGGAGAGGGUGAGAGCUUCUGAGAGCUUCUGAGGGUGAGAGAGGGGAUCUCAGGCCUAGGAAUUGGCCUCUCAGAGUGAGAGUGAUGCCUCCCUAGAAUGAGGGGAUGAGUCCCCUUUUAUAGAAUAAGGGGCUCCUCCUCCUUUACAAAGUAUGGGCUUUAGUGUGAGGCCCAAAUACAAGGCCCAAGGCCCAAAUAUACGAGGCCCUAAAUAUGGUAUAAACAGUGCUCCCCUAAGUUCCCGAGUGAGGGAAACUCCUCGGUUGGGGACUUGCAAGAUCCAAUCCCUUGAGUAAUCACGAAACUUCUAAGUACCGAAGUGUGGUCUGAUCUUCAUCUGCCCUUCUCUGGAAGUACCUUUCCUCCAUCCGGGAAUGGUGUACUUAGCUGAUGUUGACGCACAAGGUAAUGUAUCAAUUUCACUUGAAGCUUAGUUGUAGUUUCGGGCUUAGUCAAGUGUGAUACAAACCCUAUAGUAGGAGUCCCCCAAGUCGCCGAGCUAGGAGAUCUGCCGAAAGAGGUGACAGACAAGGUAAGCAGUCAAACUUCCAAGUAAGCAACCCAGGAUCAGAGGUUUGACGUCGGCUUCCGGUUGAUUGUUCUCAUUCUCCUUGUCUCUCAUUCAACUGCCAGGAUAAGGAGAAGCAAAUGGAUAAGAGAUGAUAUGAGAUACUUUUGCUUUUGAAGAAGUAACUUUCCACAGGCUUAUUCUUGAACUGUGCUGGAGGGUUUUCUGGUGCCCUUCAGAGUAUAAGGCCGACUCAAAAAUUUGAGGGUCAAAACAAGUCCAUCAAAUCUAGAGUACGUUCGACCUUGAUGAUAUGGGAUACUUUUGCUGUUGACGGAAUAAUGAAUGUGGUAUGGAAAGGUGUCGUGCUGUAGUGAUCUGUUUCAGCUCACCGUUGAACCUUCUGCUUCAAUCUUUUGCAUGGCAGAAGUGGUGUGCAACCUUUGCAUUUAAAUGGUCCUUCAGAACAUUCCUUCAUAGUGACUCAUCCACGCUUGGCAGCUUCAGUGUAAAGAGCCAAUAUCUGAUCAACUGUCAUGAGGUAUUUGCCGGUGGAAUUCGUGACCUUGACAGCAGUUGAGGAUGAGUACUCGAGAGCAAUGCUAAGUAAGCAACCAGGCAAAGGCUCCAGGCAGUCAGUUCCAAAUUGGAGGUUUGAUUUCAGGUUCCGACUGACUGCUCUCUUUUUCUCCUUGUCCUGCAGGUGUGGACAAGGACAAAGACAAAGACAGGGAGAAAGCAUGAUAUGGGAUACUCUUGCUUUCGACCCUGAUGAUAUGAGAUACUCUUGUUCUUGGUGUGGCUUAUUUGCUGAGGUAUUAUCGGGGGGAAAUAAAGCUGAGUAUUUCGAGAGGUUAUGUUGAGGGUGCCUUUUCGAAUGUGAGAAAGGGUUGAGCAUUUUUGCAGGUUUGCCUGUCCGUUGAGGAGGGAGGUCAAUGUAUAUAGGGAUUUCCCAAUAACAAGUAGUAAUGCUAUUCCUUUACCCUUCUUGGUCACAGCAAUGUAGUGGGAGCUGCCAGCUUCACGUGUUUUAAUUUUGUCAGAGCACUUUGAAAAAGUGGUAUGUGGUAUCUGGAAAGCUGAUAUUACGUGUGGAGAUUACAGACAAGCUUUAUCUAAGGAAAUCUGGCUCUCGAAGUUCUGAGAGUUGUGCCUCUUCGGUUUUCGAACAAGCAAUCCCGUCGAGGAUCUGACUCUCGAGAUUCGGAAAGCGGUGCUACUCCGGUUUUUGAGAAAGUAAUUAUGUUGGGAGUCUUUUCUCGAAUGUGAGUAAAGGUUGGUCGUUCUUGCCAACCUGUCUUGCCACAAAACACGGAGGUCGACACACAUAGGGACUUUCCAGUUGUCAAGCAGUGGUGCUGUUCCUUUACCCUUAUGGGUAAUAGUAGGGUAGCUGGCACUUCGAAAUUCUCGUGCCUAAACUUUGUCAGAGAUCUUUGACAAAGUUAUAUGUGGUACCCGAGGAGUUGAUGGUGCAUAUGGAGAGCGGUGAUUGAUCAGUAAGAUUCACGUGCUUUCUGCUUCACCAGAAAUCUUCGACAGAUUGCCCGUAAUUUCCGCAAAGCUAAUUGUGCAUGUGACAGGUGCUGACAAGGCUGCAAAAGCAGGUGCUUCUUCGAUUUCUGAGAUCGGCCCUCGUGGUCUCUGAGCAGCCCAGCUUUUGAGAAAGCAAACGCCUCUUCGAUUUCUGAAGCUCCGUCGAGUGCAGAUUUUUAUAGAGGCUGGCAUUAAGUUCCACAGCACACUUGAAUCUCUACCAGUAGAAGCUCAUUUCUUGCACUUCUAAGAUCUUGAUUUGUCUGACCUCUUCCUUCUUCAACACAUUUGAAAAUGUCUGGACCCUCCGACCGUCGUUUUGACUUGAACCUUGGAGAAGAGACAGCCACGCCUUCUCCAAACAACAUAUGGCGCCCAUCCUUCAUAUCCCCUACUGGUCCUCUUACCGUUGGGGAUUCUGUGAUGAAGAAUGAUAUGACCGCUGCAGUGGUGGCCAGGAACCUUCUCACUCCCAAAGAUAACAGACUACUUUCCAAACGGUCUGAUGAGUUGGCUGUUAAGGACUCUCUGGCUCUUAGUGUUCAGUGUGCAGGUUCUGUGUCUAAUAUGGCCCAACGCCUAUUUGCUAGAACCCGCCAAGUUGAAUCAUUGGCUGCUGAAGUGAUGAGUCUCAAACAGGAGAUUAGAGGGCUCAAGCAUGAGAAUAAGCAGUUGCACCGGCUCGCCCAUGACUAUGCUACAAACAUGAAGAGGAAGCUUGACCAGAUGAAGGAAUCUGAUGGUAAGGUUUUACUUGAUCAUCAGCAGUUUGUGGGUUUGUUCCAAAGGCAUUUAUUGCCUUCGUCCUCUGGGGCUGUACCUGGUAAUGAAGCUUCAAAUGAUGAACCUCCAAUGCCUCCUCCUUCUGGGGUUUUGUCAAGUACUGAGGCUCCGGAUAACCACCCUCCGGUGCUUUCUCUUUCUGGGGCUCUACCGACUGCUGAGACUUCCCCUAAGCAACCUUUGUGAAGGCUCCCUUUUGUUUGUUUAUUUUGACUCAUGUAUAUGUACAUAUUUGUGGCUUAUCGAAAAUAUUAAUAAAUAAGCUUUGCUUCAUUUCAACAUAUUGUGUUAAAUACACCAAAGCCUUCUUCAUAAAGUUCUUUGAAUUUUUUGCUUUUGUUGAAACCUGUAUUGUUGAAGCUUUGUGAGUGGAGCAUGUAGUUUGAGGUAGUGUUCCCUUAAUUUCCCGAGUGAGGAAAACUUCUCGGUUGGAGACUUGAAAAAUCCAAGUCACUGAGUGGUUGUGAGACUGCCGAGUAUCAAGGUGCAGUAGCAUAUGGUGGGAGUCCCCCAAGUCUUCAGGCGAAGAGAGUUGCCGAAUGAGGUGUCUAGCUAGUAGUCAAUGUCAUGAGUAGGAAAACUUCACUUGUUUCUUUUCGAAGUGGUAACCCAGGGCUCUUUCUUCAUAUAUUGUUUUUUGUUAUGAAGAUGUGUUAGGCCCAAAGAAGUGGAGGCCUAGGAACUUUUUUUUUUUUUAUUUAUUUUUUUUUUUUACUCCCUCCCUUUUUCUUGUGUCAUUUACAUGGGUGUAUUCGAAUGGAGCUGAAUGAGGGGUAGGGUAUGACUCAUUAUCAUGUGCCAUGAUUUUGUCUUCCUUUAGCUUCUCUUUUGCUUUGCUUUAGUCUUCCUUUAGCUUUUCUUCAAUAUAACACCAUUUUCUGUGGCUCAGAUCGCAAAACCAUCUUCAUGAAAGUUGUUCCUUAACUUGUGAACUACAACAUAUCCAAAUUUGAGGUCCCUCGGAGCAGUAUAACUCCAGAAAUCCAGGUAUGAUGAGUGACUGUUUAUCAUUUGUCUGUCAACCCGUCAGAUUUGUUGUGAGUUUUGAAACUCUAUUUUCUCUUGCUCAAAUAAGCAUGCUUUCUUCAUUGAAGUUGUUCCUCAGCUUGGGAACUACAACAUAUCCAAAUUUGAGAUCCCUCGGAGCUGUAUAACUCAAGAAAUUCAGGUAUGAUGAAUGACUGGUUAUUAUUUUUCUGUCAACCCGUCAGAUUUGUUGUGAGCUUUGAAACUCUAUUUUCUCUUGCUCAGAUCAGCAUGCUUUCUUCAUUGAAGUUGUUCCUCAGCUUGUGAACUUCAACAUAUCCAAAUUUGAGAUCCCUCGGAGAAGUAUAACUCCAGAAAUCCAGGUAUGAUGAAUGACUGGUUAUUAUUUUUCUGUCAACCCGUCAGAUUUGUUGUGAGCUUUGAAACUCUAUUUUCUAUUGUUCAGAUCAGCAUGCUUUCUUCAUUGAAGUUGUUCCUCAUCGUCUCUUUCAUAACAUAUCAAAAAUUCAGAAUGAACUAAUGGUUAAAUAUUUCCAGAUCUUCGAAACAUCACAGCAGCUUCGAAAUCUGCAAGAAUCCGACUGUCAUGCUUGGAGCUUCAACACUUUAAUUUCCGUGGCUCAAACAGAAAUGGUUCCUUCUUGAAAGUUGUUCAUCUGCUCAAGAACUAGAGGGUGUCCAAAAUUCAGCUCCAUUGGAGAGAAGCAGCAGCUGCAAAAAUUUGAUAGAGAAAAGGAGGCGAAGCUUUGUUGGAUUUCUAGGCUGGGGAAGAUUCCAGUUUUUGUAGCAACUUCAGUACUGGUGAAUUGCUUGUAUUUUUGUCCAUAACUAAAUUUUGGACUUUGAAUUAUUAUUUGAUCUAUCAUAAUAUGUUUGGGAACAUAUAUAAGUGAAUAAAUAAGAAGGAAGAUUUUGGGCCCUUGUGGGUGUAAAACAAAAAAAUGUUUAGGUUGUGUGAACAAAAUUUGUUUAUUUGGAGCAAGGUUUUGUGUUGAAGCUUUGUAGGUGAAGCUUUGGUGUUGAAGCUUUCUAGGUGAAGCUUUGAUGGUGAAGCUUUGUAGAUGAAGCUUUGUAGAUGAAGCUUUUUUAGGUGAAGCUUUGUAGGUGAAGCUUUGAUGGUGAAGCUUUGUAGAUGAAGCUUUGUAGGUGAAGCUUUUUUAGGUGAAGCUUUGUAGGUGAAGCUUUGAUGGUGAAGCUUUGUAGAUGAAGCUUUGUAGAUGAAGCUUUCUAGGUGAAGCUUUUUUAGGUGAAGCUUUGUAGGUGAAGCUUUUUUAAGUGAAGCUUUGGGCCCUUGUGAAGCUUUGGAGGUGAAGCUUUUCGGGUGAAGCUUUUUUUGGGUGAAGCUUUUUUGGGUGAAGCUUUUGAGGUGAAGCUUUGUGGGUGAAGCUUUGGAGGUGAAGCUUUUCGGGUUUUUUUGGGUGAAGCUUUGAAGCUUUUGGGUGAAGCUUUUCUUUGUGGGUGAAACUUUGGAGGUGAAGCUUUUCGGGUGAAGCAAGGCCCAAGGCCCAAAUAUACGAGGCCCUAAAUAUGGUAUAAACACAACCUAAAUCAAGAACUCUAUCCCUAUAAAUAGGCUCCCAUUCUCACCAAAAACCUAGGUCCUCACUCUUGCUAAAAUUCUCCAAAGCUCUCAAACACUUUUAUCUCAAAAUUCUAACUUUGGCAUCGAAGGUUCUUCGGCCAAAGCCCCCCCCAUUCAUCGUGGGUGCGUGAGGCUCUUAGCCUUGACCUAAUGUGUUAUUUGUUUUGUAGGUGCAAUUUUGUCCAAGAUCAAGGAGGAAGAAAUUUGCAUCCACACACGUAGUGCCUAAUCAUUGGCUGUGCGGACUCCAUCUUUGCUACAUCAUUAAAUUAAUAGAAAAUUUGAUAUAAUCAAACGACAAGGACCACAUUGAUAUGCGGUGGUAAAUUUUAGGAACGACAUUGACUAAUUUUCAAAUUAAAUAAUCAAAAUGAUGAGUUAGGUCAAUUUCAAAGUAGAUAUAUACAACAUUGCUCCUAUGACCACAUCCUUACAUGGUGAUCAUGCUAAUAGAGCAGUGUCAUUUUGUCACACGUAUGCGUUUAUGUGAAAUUGAAUCACACAUUUUAUAUAAAGAUCAACAAAAGUUAGAUUUGCAGUAGGAUGGACUUCAUAUUAGGCUUGGCAAAUGAGUCGUGUUUAUAUCAUUUUCGUGUCAUAUACCCGUUAUCUUAAUGGGUUGUGUGAAACCUGUUAUCUUAACAGGUGACCCAUUAACAACCUCUUUCCUUAACAGAUCAUGUAUAUUUCGUGUCGGAUUAACGGAUCAUGCUAUAAAUUGUCAUGCUUAAUGUCUAAAUCUGGCAAACAAUAUCUUAUCUGAUUCUUAACAGGUGAUCCGAUAAACGAUCCGACCAGUUAACGAGUUCUUAAUGGGUUACUCGGUAACUACCCGACUCAUUAUCGGGUUGACCAGAAACUACUUAUUUUCAUAUUAUUUCUUGUCAGGUUAACGGAUCGUGUAAGAAAGUGUCUAACAUGCUCCAUAUAAUGGAUGUUUAAGAUAAACACUUUUUAUAUAAGUUUUUGUUAUAAUUUUCUUAUACAAUAAUGUUAUAUUAUCUUAAAUAUCUUCGCAAUGGCGUACAGUACCAGAAAUUUUUUAUUAUGAUCGGAAUACGGAUGAUACACUACGUGUUUUUAUAUAAGUGGUGAAAAAUUGUAUUUUUUAAGUCAUUAAAUUUUUAAUACACAUAUUUCACUAUAUGUAUAGUAACACGUAAUGUACUAUCUUAUAUUUCAAUCAUACUAAAAAAUCUCUCAGUAACCGUUUGUCAGUCUCCCAGUCUAAUCAAGAAUUCGUGAAUCACGAGGCCAACAAGUCUUCAUCCUACUUUAUAUAAGGACAUUGACCGGCACUUUUUUAAAUGCCUUUAGUCCCUCACCCACCCUCAAAACCUCACCACUUUCAUUUUUAUUUUGAAUAAUAAGAAGGUUAAAUUUAGAAAUAAAAUUUACAAAUUAAAUAAUAUGUCAUCAAUAAAAAUAAGAUAAACGAAUCAUCAAUUUUUAUAUCCUUUAGUUUUCAAAAUUUUAUCUCCUUAACAUUACACUUUUACUUUUGUUACAAAAUCUCACAACUUUAAAACCAUCCCAAAAGUUACAACAAAAAUCCAAUAAGAAACCGCAAAAUAUUGGUUUAAUAAAGAUUUGGAUUCUCCAUUCAAGUUCUAACUUUUACAAAUGUAUUUUUUUUAGUCAAUAGCUCUGAUUUGGGUUAAUAAAUACCAAAAAAUAUGAUUCCGCUUUAUAGAUGCUAAAGUCUCAUGAUGAAAUAAAUCAACAUGUUAUCAAUGUGAGGUGGAAUAUUUUCUAAAUUAAAAAAGAAAAAUGUUUACAUUCCUUCUAUAAGCGGACAUUCCUUCUAUAAGCGCAUGAGCUCAUUCUCCCACUUACUUAUAACUUAUAACGUAUAUUCAUCAUAAAAGUUUCAUAACUAAACCUUUCAAUCUUCUAAUAUUCAUUUGAAGAUUAUCCAUAUAAAAAGUCAUUUGAAUCAGAUACCGUUUAGUCAUCUAAAUGUAUGAAAAAAAAAUCAACGAUUCAUUAUGAAUAUGCUACUUGUUAUCAACACCGUUGAUUUAUUGAUACAUUUGGAUGACUAAACGAUAUCUAAUUCGAAUGAUUUUUAUAAAGAUGAUUUUCAAAUGAAAAUUAAGAGACUAAAUGGUUACGAUUAUGAAACUUCUACGAUUAAGAUAUGUUAUUUGCAAGUAGAGAAAUAAGUUCAUUCCCAUAAACAGAAUGAAGUAUUCGGUGUUCUAAGAAGCAGCGUAGCCAGCCCCUAGGCGAUAGGCCGUAAGUUGCCGCUGCGACAAUCCCUAAUCGGUCUGAAAAUUGGAAAGCUUGUUAAGCGGCUCCUUGAUUUUAAUCCCUAAUCCCUGAUUUUUUUUAUUUUUUUAUUUAUUAUUUAUUUUAUGCAAACCGACAGCGCAUUCGAAGAAGAGGAUGGCUUGUCUACAUGUUGUCGUUUUGCCAAAAGUUGCCUGUUUCGGUUUUUAUUCAAACUUUUUGUUAUCACUUUUCGUUUUCUUUUAUUUUAAUCAGCGAGUGACUUUUCACUUUUAUUAUUAUUAUUGUCUAUUUGUAAGACACUACUGUCUCUCACCAAUAAUAUCUGCACUUUUUUAUUUUGUCUUGGCUAUGUCUAUCCUAUAUAUUAAUAAUAGCACACCUUUUAUCAAUUUUUUUAAGAGUUUUAACAAAAAAAAAUUCCGAUACUGUUCAUUUUUAACGAAAAACUACAUUUAUAUAUUUUCCUGAUACCAUUCACUAUACCUUUAAAAAUGACUUUUCAUUAAAAGUGAAGGUUUUUUGGACUUUUCAUUAUUUUAUUUUUUUUGUUUUUGAACAAAGACCCUUUAUCAAUUAAAAGCUAAGGAGAAUAUAAGUGUAAAUAGUUACUUAUUUAUAUGAUACAUAAUAAAUUUGCUUAAUAUGUUUAGUCUGCCAAGUCGCCUAAACGUUAGGUCUUACUUCGCCACUCGACUAGAGCUUAGUGCCUUUUAGAACCAUGCAAUUGUUAUACUUAAAAAAAAUCUCUCGAUUCAAGGGAAAAGAGAUUAGUUUGGCUCAUCAAUGAACAAGGAGUUUCUCUUUAAUUCACCUUGUGGCCAAUUUAUGGGAUUUUAUGCUCUUAUGAGCAGAACCAUUCAUGUUAUAAAACAUUUUGUAAAGGCCAUCUCUUAAAAAAAAUCAAUAAACUAUGAGAUCGUUUAGUCAUCACACUGUAUAAAAACAUAUGAAAGAAUCUAGUAAAAGAAUUACAAAACCAUCUAUCCAUUAGCUACAAUAAUUGACUAGACGACUUUAUUUUCUAUUGAUCUUUUUUUUUUCUUUUUUUGGUUGACAACGGGGCUUAAUGCCGAAAGAAUAUGAAGAUUAGAUAAGAAUAUAACGAGGUCACGAGACCCAAACUAUAUUUGCAAUUAGUAACAGAUGACAAGGAGGUGCUUGCUCAAAAAAUACUGAACUCAAACUACAUGACAAACACAAACGAGCCAAAUCAUCAGCAACAAAAUUCUUUUCACGAUAGAUAUAACGAACUUCUAUUGAUCUUUUAAUUUUUGCAAAGUUAUUUAUAAUACGAACAAUUUCAAUAAACUAAAGGUAAUCGAUCACAAAGUAUCUUUAAAAAUAAAAUAAAAAAAAACCUCCUCAAUCUAUUUAAGGAGCCAACCUCGCUCAAGAGAAAAUCCAAAAUCCAAACUCCAAUAACAAAAAGCAAAAGCUUCUUCCCUUGUUCCGCCUUGCCCUUCCCUCUCCUUUCCUUCCAUCUUCUCAAGAAACAAACAGAAACCACUACAAGCAACAACAUUAGCAAGAAAAUAAAGAAAUACAUAAACCCAAUAAGCACCAUUACAAUCUCGAAGUACGACAUACAACCUCUCUCUCUCUCUGUCUCAAGAUUUCAGCUUCAGAAUUUGACAUCUGAAAGUGAAAAGUUAAUCUUUUUGUGUUUUUUUUUUCUUGAUUCCCAGAUCCGACUACGCAAAAGAGCGCAACACCCAAGACGGCCGGAGAGCGAUGUUGUCAUCGUCGACAACAAGCGUUCACGUCAUGGCCCUGGACGGCCUGGUCAACGUGAACUCACUCUUCACCAUCGCCGUCUUCGUGGGGCUUUCUCUGGCGACUCCGGGACAGAGGAGCCUCGAGAACCGGACAUCCUGCGACGCCGGGAUCGACGUGGCGAAGGAGCUGCUGGUGUUCGAGGUUGUCUCCUUCAGCUUCUUCCUGUUCUCAUCGCUGGUGGCGCAGGGACUGAAGCUGGCGAUCAACCUGCUCAACAGCAAGGAUGUCAAGGAGGCGUUGCAUACCAACAUCAAUAUGAAGGUGUUGAGAUUCGGGAUGUUGGGGUCGGCUUUCGGGUCGGUCAUGGGUUGCGUGUUUCUGGUGCUGUCGAUGGUGAAUGUGAUUCAGAUCAGGCUGGGGAUGCUUUCGUGUGGCAGCAAAUCCGCCGUCCAUGCUGUGGCGCCGCUUGUUGUUUUGGUCACGACGGCUCUUUUGGUUUAUAUUUCUACUGCUGUUUAUGCUUUUCUUCACUAGCUGCUGAAUGCAUAUUUAUGCAAGUCUCUUGUACGAUAUCAUGAAAGUGUAAGAUAGACCCUUAAGCAAUAUAAGAGCAAUUCCACCCCUAAGGACUUUGCGCCAGCACCUAGCGCAUUUAUCCACUCAAAUAAACAGUAACAGACUCUAAUGAACAGUAAUAGGUCAAGGCAUCUCCACCCCUAAAAAAAUGCGCUAGCACCUAGUGAAAAAAUGCGCUGGCACAAACGAUCUCCAUCCCUACAAAAUGCGCUGGCACCCAGCCCAUUUAAAAUAUUUUUAAAUUUUGUCUAAAAGAAUAAAAAAAUAAAAUAGUUUUAAUUUCGGAUAGGAUUUUUAAUCAAUCUCGUCACGCCACGUGUCAUUAUCUGAACGUACUAUUUUGUGAAUAGAUUUCCGCUAAGAUUUUCAACCAAUCCCGACACGCCACGUGUCACUUCCGUUUUACAAUAAUUUAGCCAAGAUUUCGAUAAGAUUUUUAACCAAUCACGUCAUGCCACGUGUCAUUAUCUGAACGUAUUUUGUGGAUAGAUUUCUGAUAAUAUUUUCGACCAAUCCCGACACGCCACGUGUCACUUCCGGUUUACAAUAAUUUAGCCAAGAUUUUGAUAAGAUUUUCAACCAAUCACGUAGUGCCACGUGGCAUUGUCCAGAACCUCAUCCUUUCUUUUUUUGUCCAUAUAAACCAUACAUCCCUACAUCCAUCCUCACACCAAGCUCAAUCCUUCUUUUUAGCUCAGAAUCCUUGUUCAUCGUUUUCAAAUCUUGAGUUCUUAUUACAAUGUCUUCUUCAAGAAGGGUGUAUAAACAGUUGCAGGAGCAACAACAAAGGUUGUUGGCACAACAGGCAGAAUUGGCCAAUCUCGAGGAAGGUGGAGGUGGAGGUGGAGAUGAGGCUUUCUUCAUGGAGGAGGAUGAGGGUGGAAUAAAUUAAAAUUUGGUGCGGGUGGAAUGCAUAUAAAAAUUACAUAAGAAAUAACAUAAAAAUUACAUACGAAAUUAAAUAAAUCAAAAUAUUGAUGUGGGUGGAAUGCAUAUAAAUAAAUAAAAAUAUUGUCACCUGAUCCGCUAAACUUGUCCCACUACGAAGGUUACCAGAAGCAUGAGAGAUGGCGUUUUUCUAACAAGUAAAGGAUGCGUUGAAUUUUUUCCAACGACCUUGAAGACCUUGACUAGUUCUGGCGUUUUCUCCAUGUACAUCUGUUGACCCUAGAAACUACCAAGCCUACGUGGCGCGCAGGCCGAGUAAUCUAUAAGCUAACUACGUCCUUCGGUGAAUGCGGGGCGUGCCAACUCGUCGGCCGAGCUCGGCCGAGGAGUAAAUUUUGCUGAUGUCGCGUUGGAUGCGCGGCUGACUUCUGCGUCUUGCGAUUGCGGCCGAGAAAGGAACGCGUCUCGGCCUUUUGGGCUCUCGAACCUGAAGACAAGGUUACUAUCCUUACGAAGUUCAAUAUCAAAUUCGGCUCUCAAUGUGCCGAAUGUAAUAACUGUAACACCUCACUUUGCCGAGAAGACUGAUGAGAUGACCUCGACCAAUAAGGAUUCAAAAAUCCUUCUCGACCGAGACUUGGAUAGGUAAUCAACCGUCCUCGCCGCAGUGCUGUUGAUGCCAACGAAAGAUGCUGCGAGACCGGCUGAUUCUACGGUGACAGAGCUAUCUAUGCCGACUUAAGAUAUCACCGGUUGCUUUCACAGUGCUGUUGAUGCCAACGGAAGAUAUGUCAGCGAAAAAAGAAAGAAAAAAUCUCAAGUUGUUGAGUUUGCGCAAGGCAGUUGUAUUCAUUUGCAGGUCAUUUUUCCGUUGUUCGUGACUCUGUAUUUAUAGUGGCUGAUGUACUUGCUUGGCACGGCUAGAUAGAGUUUGACUGCAACUCUAACUCACUAAAUAAAAUUUGAUCCAUAGCUUUUAAAAUUCUGCGACCUCCAAAAUAAAGCCCAUCCAGGCUUUAUCACAUCUAAUCUACCUAGGCUUCUGAUUUUAUUAAAACCUCCAGCAGAAACCUUCACUUCAAUCACACAAAAAGCCUAGUCUAGCUAGGUUUGUUGUGUCAUCAUCUCAACCUAGGCCUAUCACAUCACCACCAAAAUCCAAUCUAAUCCUAUCCUAUUUAGGCUUCUUCAUAAUCUAUGCAACCUGAUCCCCACCAUAUUUUAAAUAAACAAUAAUCAAUUUGCACCACACACCACACAUUCGCGCUCCAGAACACCCAAGUCAGAUUGACUUGUGCUGCCAUGUUUCCAGUUGGAAAUAUAUCUCUUAUCUUUCAUAAUAAAUUACUAUUAAAAGAUAAUUAUGAUAACACCAUAACAUUAUCCUUUAAUAAUAAUAAAAUGAAUUAUCUCUACUUUUCAUCUGACGGUGUGAAACUUUGCUCAUUCAACGGCCUUGAUUACACGGGCCGAUUGUGUAAAUUUGGGUCCAAACAACAUCGCAAAACGCUUUCGUAAUUUUACUCCACAUUUCUCGCUUAUCCAUCACAUUCCCCGUAAUUGGGUCAUGAGUAGUGUGAACCCAACAUUCACACAACGUAAUAUCUUCAAUGAGCCUCCACGAAGACAUUUUUUCUCUUAAAGUGUAGAAAAUAUUGAAAUGUAGAUAGUAUAGAAAGUGUAGAAAAUAUUGAAAUGUGGUGUAAAGGUGGAAGAUGAGGGUUAGGUAUUUAUAGGAAAAAAUUUAACAUUUUUCAAAAUUUUCUGUAAUUUUUUUAAAAUUUUAUGUAUUUUUUAAUAAUUUUUCUGUAUUUUUUUAAUAAUUUUUAAUGAAUUUUAAUAUAGUUAAUUAAUCUGGACCGUUGGAUUUGAAAAAUAUUCAAAUCCAAGAGACAGGGAGUUGCCACGUAGCCAACGGACAUAUUUCUGACCGUUGGGCCUUUUUUUUUACUUUUUUGUGAAAAAAAGUGGACCGUUGAUCUUUGAUCCGACAGUCUAUUUUAAAAGUAAAAUUAAAAUUUUUUUUACCGUUGGAUUUCCAACGGCACAAAGAGAGCCACGUCGCCAACUCGGGGGGGGGGGGAACUGAGUGCGCUUGCACGCGGGCCCGCGUUCUGAAAUCCUGUCGGGCACUCGCUCCAGCGCCUCCGUGAAGCGCACGCGCCAGGCAAACUGCCCAACUUCUUGCUCAGUCUUUUUUGGGCUGGUCCAGAGCCCAGCUCGGGCUGGGUACCAGUCAAGUUGAGGGGGUGGACUUGGUUGACAGGGUCCUGGCCUUGUUUUUGUGCUGGGUCCUGGGCAAAGUCCACUGGGGUGGAAUUUCUCUAAGGGCCAACUUUAUAUUAACUUAACCACCAACCUAAAGAGAAUGCAUAUUUAUGCAACUCUCUUAUACGAUAUCAUGAAAAUGUAAGUUAGACCUUAAGCAAUAUAAGGAGUGACUCUAUGGAUUCAUUUGGAUGUACUUUUAAAAAUGAUUAAAAAAAAAUUUGGUUAAAUUGAUUUGAGUUCCAAAAGCACUUUAAGUGACUUUUUGAAGAAGCAUCAGAUAUGUAUUUCUUGUAGGAAGCACUAAAGUACUUUUCCAGGAUCCAUUUGGAUUUUUACUAAGGAUUGGUAUCAAAAACAUUUUCACCAAAAGCGCUUUCACUCAUUUUAAAAGCACAUCCAAACGAGCCCUAUAUCAACUUAGCCACUAACCUGAAGAAGAUAUCGUCUCAGGAAAUAAGGCAAGGAACUAAAGUUCUUCUACAACUCUACACAACUGGAAAACAAGGCUCACUAAAUGGGGCUUGAGUAUUUCUAUAAAACUUGCGUGUAAAGUGAGAGUGUAGGGACCUUAGUUAUAUAUUGUAUGUGAUGGGUCUUUGAUUAGGAGUCCUCCCCUUAAGAAAACCUUAUCAAAGAUUGACCUUAUCAUCGAGAAUCACUUAUGCAUUAUAUCGGCUAGUAGAGUUCUAAUUUAUCUAAGAGUGUUUCUAACUUGAAUACCGAAGGAAUACAACUCCUGAAAAGUGUACCACAUGUGUCAAUCCUAAUCUCCUUGUUGUCCCAAAAGUCUUUGUACAAAUUACAAAGUGUUUGCUCUCAAAUAGUACUUACAUUCUCCCACUAGAGCAAAUACUUUGUAAAGUUGUAUAAUUAUACUUGAGUUGGAAAGAAUCUGUAUUGGUCAUGAGAUUAGUAUUCGACACUUCUUAGUUUACCAGUCUUUGUCAUUGUCAAGCAUUUAUGUGAACUAUAGGGUAACACACUCAAUUCAUUGAAGAGUACCAUCCCCAUAAUUACUUACAAUAAAACUUACCAACACAUAAGACUCCAGCAAGAUAUAUGAUAUGUAAGACACAGCUGAACAUGUAUUAAAUGUGUUAAACAUUUGGUCCAUUUUCCGAAUUGAAAACGAUCUUUGUGCUUCUAUAUGAAGCCCUUAGGAUGUCUAUCACUUUAUAAUGAAUGAAAAAUCAUAAAGUAUCAUGUAAUAAACACAUUCAUGCAUUAUCAUAACUAAUAGUUGAACUCUUUAAGGGAACUUGAACAACCUUUCAACAUUAUUCUUUACUAGCUAAGAAAACUUCAUCAUUAAUACUCAAAACUUAUCCUCCAUAGCAUAAACUGUAACUGAAUAAAAACUAACAUAAAGGUUAAACCAAUUACAUAACUCCCACUAAUUCGCUGCAUCGAAAUCAGCCAAGACUCUCAUUCUAGUGACAUGCUUCUUAAAGACAAUCAUGAGAACUGCUUUAUUUAAUGGAUCAACAAUCAUUUAUCCAGUCUCCAAAUAAUCGACUUUAACUAAUCCAGCUACCACCUUCUCUCGAGCAAUGAAAUACUUUCUAUCCAAGUUCCUUGUUGCAUUAGACCUCUUAUUAUUCUUAGUAAAGAAUAUGGCUGCAUUGUUAUCACAUAAAUCUGUAUAGGUCUCGAUAUAGAAUCCACAGCUUGAAGCCCAAGUAUGAAGUUCUUCAACCAAAUAGCUUGAUCCACUGUUUCACAAACUGAUAAAUAUUCGACAACUAUAGUUGAUGCUGUCACAGUUCCGUGUUUCACAUUUUUCCAAGAGACCGCACCACAUGCCUUUAGGAAAACAUAACCUGUCAUCGAUUUCAUAUCAUAUGGGUAACCUGUGUCUAAAUCAUUAUAUCCUUCCAAAACCAAACUCCGAGUUCUUCUAUACACUAACAUAUGGUCUUUAGUUCUCUGAAGGUAUCUCAAAACCCUUUUGGCAGCAUUCCAGUGGGCUUCUCCAACAUUGGAUUGAAACCUACCAAGCACAAAGAUGGUGAAAACCAAGUCAGGCCUUGUGCACACCUGUGCAUACAUCAAACUUCCCACCAAAGUACAUUUGGUUUGUCUUCCAUAGUCUUCCUCGCCAAGUCUGUUUUUGGACAUUGCAGUUUACUCAAUUUAUCACCCCCUGAUAUAGGCAUUUAUGUGGUUCCACAUGAAGACCUGUUGAAUCUUUUUAACUCUUUUUCUAUGUAUGCCCUCUGUGACAAUCUCAGUAAACCUCUCAUUCUAUCUUUUUUGAUCUCAAUCCCCAAAACAUGUCGCUUCUCCCAGGUCCUUCAUUUCAAAAUGCUUCUAUAAUAAUGUUUUUGUCUCAUCCAACAAAUUGUGACUAUUUGUGGCAACCAAUUUAUCAUCCACAUAGAGAACUAGGAUGAUAAAGUUGCUCCCACUGAACCUUAGAUAGAUGCAAUUGUCUAAAGGGUUUUCAGUGAAGCCAUGUUCUUUCACAACUCUAUGAAACUUCAAGUACCGCUGUCAUAAUGCUUGCUUCAAUCCAUAAGUGGAUUUGUUGAGCUUGCACACUAAGUUUCUUCCUUCUCCCUCUUUAAAACCUUAUGGUUGUCGCAUGUAAAUACAUUAUUUCAGAUCCCCAUUCAGGAAUGCCGUUUUUACAUCUAUUUGAUGUAAAAUUAAAUCAAAAUAAGCCUCCAUAGACAUGAUAACCCUAAAAUCAUCUUUUGUUGAUACAUGACUGAAUGUUUCUUUAUAGUCUACACUCUCAUUCUGUGUGAAGCCUUUUGCAAUGAGCCUGGCUUUGUGCAUUUCUAUGUUUCCAUUUGAAUCCCUUUUUUGUUUUAAAGACCCAUUUGCACCCUAUGGGUUUUGUUCCUUCUGUAUGUUCCACUAAGUCCCAUACUUGGUUGUUUGCCAUCGAGCUUAAUUCACUCUUCACGCCUUUAUCCACUUGUUUGCAUUUGGUCCUGCAAUAGCUUCUUUGUAACUCAUCAGAUCAUUUAACUCUGAAAGAUCAGUGUCAACCUCUGUCAAAUACACGAAAUCACUUAAGGUUGUAGGUUUUCGAACCCUAGAUGACUUUCUUACAGCACCUGCAACCAUAAAAUUGUCUUCUUGUGCUUGUUGUUGUUGAUGAUUUUAUGUCAUAGCAUCUUCAAGAACAUCUUGAAUAACUGUAUUAUUAUGCAGUUCAGUGUCAUGUGCAGCCUCUAUCUCGUUGUAUGGUUCAUCAGAAUCAUUACUUCUCAUGUUCUCAGUUACUAUAAUCAUUAGUGCCAUUACCCAUGUGUUACGAUCAACUUCCUCAACUGUAGCUUCUAUUUUCAUUAGUGUCUUCUUCAAAUACGAAUUCUUCAACCCUUGUUCCAGAAUCAUUGCUUGCAUCAGACUCUAUGAAAACUGCUUUUCCAAUUUCGACAAUUCUAGUAGUUUGAUUAGGGCAAUAGAAUCUAAAACCCUUCGAUCUCUCAACAUAUCCAAUAAAAUGACAACUAAUAGUCUUGGAAUCGAGUUUCUUGUAGCCUGGGUUAUAGAUUUUUGCCUCUGCCCUACAACUCCAUACAUGCAGAUGGUUCAAACUUGGUUUUCUGCCUGUCCAAAGUUCGAAAUGUGUCCCUUCCACAGAUUUUGAAGGUACCCUAUUAAUUAUAAAAUUCACAGUUUUCACUGCUUCACCCCACAAACAACUUGGAAGAUUGGUUUUACAAAUCAUGCUUCUUAGUUUUAAUUUGCAACCUUUUUUUAUUUUUAAAUUUGUACUAAUUUUCUUUUUAGUUUUAAUUUGUAACUAUAUAUUAAUCUAAAUUUCUAAUUUUUUAUUUGUAACCAUAAUUUAUUUAUAAUGUAACCAUUCUACUUUAUAAAUGUACCACUUUGUUAUAUGUAAAAUGUUCCAAUUUUUGUCUAAAUGUAUCAUUUUUAUGUGAAAUGUACCCAUUUUGUAGUAUAAAAUCUAUAAAUGUAUCAUUUUUCAAUUUCAAAUUAACCCUGAUUUAGAAGUAUACAAUAGAACAUUUAUUUUGUUCAAAAAAAGAAUAUACAAAUUGUGUGUGUGUGUGUGUGUGUGGUGUAUUUUUUUUUUUUAACAAAAUGGUGCACAUUGUAUAUUCUUUUCCUUGGGUACAUUCUUUUUAUUUUUUAUUAAAUAGUUUGUUGAGCCAAAAUUAAUGUGUACAUUAUUUUCCUCUUGUUUUAAAUGUACCCAUGAUUUUUUUUUCUCUUAUCCUUUUUUAUUUGGGUACGUACAUUGUUGUGUCAUGCAGGAGUACAUUUUUGCUGUUGUCAAGUUCAUGGGUACAUGCAAAAUUAAUUUACUAGGUGUAUAUUAUUUCACUUGACACUACUCAUUAAAAUUUGCAAAACUUUGUGCACAAUGGUUUGUUAUGUACAUUGUUUUUAGUCUCAUAAUCCAUGAGACUUUUACCAUUUAUAGUGCGAAAAUGGUGAGAUUUGUUAAAUACAAUUUAAGUUAAAAGAGAAAAUAACUAACAUAAAAUAUAUUAAUGCUAAUAUGCUAAUGUGUACAAAGUUAAACGACUUUGAUCAAAAUAUAAAAAUCAAUAAGGUUUCAAUUAAAAAAUAUUGGUGAUUAGAGACCGCAUCCAAAGUAUCUCUUAUUAUUAAUAGGUAAAAUAAAAACCCAAUAACACUAGCUUUGAAAUAGAAAUCAACUUUCUUUUCAUGGAAGGAGCAUAAACAACAGUAUCGAACUCUAAAUAAAAACCAAAUUCUAGUUUUAGCCUAACACUUCCUAAGGCUUUGACUUCAACUCUCCUUCCAUUGCCAACCGAAAUUUUGACUUCAUCCUUAUUUGGUGUUCUCCUUGUUGUGAAGUCCUGCAAUGAAUUUGUAACAUGUAUAGAAGAGCCUGAGUCAAGCCACCAUUAAGUGCUAGGUAUGUUAAUUAAAUUAAAUUUAAAACAAGCAAAAACAUUUUUACCUUUCUUUACUUCUUGUUUGGCAAGCCAAGCCUUAUAUUUGGGAUAGUUUCUCUUCAUGUGGCCUUCUUUUUUGCAAAAAUAACACUCGAAAACUGAAGGUUUAUUAAGUUUGAAGUUUCUUUUAGGUGAGGGAGCCCUUUUGGUAACAUCCUUUUUGGCAGCAUCAGGGACAUAAGGUUUGGUAGCUUUAAUGGUACUUUGCACGAAGUUCACAUACUCAUACUUCUCUUUUUCAGACUUUUCUUUCUUCAUCCUCUCUUCUUCACUCACACAAAUGGCUAUCAACUUAUUCACAUCCCAUUUUUCACGCAGACCAUAAUAAUAGACUUUGAGUUGUUUAUAAUUCUCAGGCAAGGAAGGAAUUCAUUAUCACAUGUAGGGCUGGAAAAAAAUCCCAAAAAUCCCAAACCAAACCAAAAAAAUCCCGAUCCCAAACCAAAAUUCCCGAAAGUUUCGAGAUGUAAUCCCAAACCAAACCGAAAGUUUCGGUAUGGGAUUCGGUAUUGCAUUUCAUUUUUUCGGUAUUCCCAUACCGAACCGAAAAAAAAAUAUAAAUAUAUAUAUAUAUAUAAUUUUUUAAUUAUAAGAGAAUUAUUUCAACCGUUGAUUGUUUUGGAUUUAAUCUGUGCCGUUGAUUUGUUUUUAGGUCAUAUCACAUUUCACUUUUGUAGUUCCUCCGUUCAUUUGUUUGGAAGCGCAACCCUGAGCCUCCGGUCCUCACCAACGUCGUCCCUCACCAUACUGUCGAAUUCCGACCAGCCACCGGCCCACCACCACACCAUACUCUCAUCUCUGACUCUCCAGCCUUCCUUCACCACACAACCACCGCUCUCUCUCGCGAUCUCUCUCUCUCUAGGGCGAUUGUCUUUCACGGACAGGUCAGGUCACAGAACUGGGGAUCUCUCUCACGGUCUCACCACUACACCGAGUCUGAGUCUCACUCUCACCCCAAAUUAGGUAAUUAAUUUAGUUUUCUGAAAUCUCUCUAUCUCACCGUCACACACACACCUCUCGCUCUCUCUCUUUUCUUUUGCGAUUUUGUCUCUUCAUCUGGAUCGUCUUUGAAAUGAUAGUAUAUAUUCGUCAUUUGCAUGUUAGUAUAUAUUCGUCAUUUGAAAUGAUAGUAUGUAUUCUCUCUGUAAUAUGAAGUUAUGAACAAUCCUCUGUAAUAUGAAAUGAUUGCAUAUUCUCUGAAAGAAUUUUUCGAAUUGGGUAGAAAAAAAUACCAAUUACAUAUGUGAUUCACAUGUGCCAGAAACGUAUCAGAAAUUGGUACCUCAAGUGCAUUGAGUUUUCUAGCCACAUCCACCAUCUUCAAUAUGUACUCUCGCACACUUUGGAUCCCAUCAUAUCUCAUGUUAGUAAGAGCAUUCAUGAGAUUACCUGUCUCAGUUUUUGGCGACUCCCUAUACUUGUCAUCAAUGGACUUUAGAAAGUCUUUUUCAUUUGUUGCAUCAGGAAAGCCACUUUUCACCACAUCUGUCAUGAUCCUUUUGAUGUCAACAGAAAGAUUCUGUUGGAUUUGUGCCAUUUUUAAUACUUGGAUUUCUGACUGGAUGUGCUGUCAUCAGUAGGUGUUGGAGGCUCCUUAGUUCUCAGCGCCAUACCCUAGUCCAUGACUCCUAGAACGAUUUCGAGAUCUUGUUUCCACUUUCUGUAGUUGACACCAGUAAGAGGCUCAACUGUAUUGAGGUUCAUCGAGUUGGGAUUCACUGAAGAAGACAUUCAUUAUGUAAGGAGUAUUAAUCUUUAACCCCAACCUAUAAAUCACCUUUUUCAACAUCUUUAGGCUGAUUAAUAUGUGAAAGCUGUCUUUAAUCACAUCGCUGAUUAAUAUGUGAAAGCUGUCUGUAAUCACAUCGCUGAUUAAUAUGUGAAAGCUGUCUUUAAGCACAUCACUUUAUAGUCAACAAUCGAAUUUUUGUAAUUAAGAUCACAAGCCUUCGUGGUUGAAAAUAUUAAUUUGAUUCAAAUAUAUAAUAUGCUGCUUAAAUAAAUUCGAAGCAUGAAAGAAAGAUCGUCCUUAGAUGAGUGAUCAUGUCUUGAAUUUAAGCACCAUUACUGGUGCAUGUAUCGACUGAAAAAUAUGUAUAUCCUUAUGAUCAAGAAAACUUUAGUCAUCCUUGAACGUGUUUAUAUAUUUUUCCCUGAUGAUACAGUUCCAGUUCCAUAACAUGCGAGACAAAUUAAAAUUUCUUGAUGCCUUCUACGUAGGGUCGAAUGAUAUGUGAGGGCUCUGAUAUCAAAUGUAAGAUAGACCCUUAAGCAAUAUAAGGACUGACUCUAUAUCAACUUAACCACUAACAUAAAGAAGACAUUGUCUCAGGAGAUAGGGCAAGGAAUUGAAGUUCUUCUGCAACUCUACACAAUUGGAAAGCAAGGCUCACUCAAUGGGGCUUGAGUAUUUCUAUAAAACUUGCAUGUAAAGUGAGAGUGCAGGGAUCUCAGCUAUAUAAUGUGUGCAAUGGUCUUCGAUUAGGAGUACUCCCAUUAAGAAAACCUUAUCAAAGAUUAACCUUAUCACCGAGAAUCACUUAUGCAUUAUAUCAGCUAGUAGAGUUCUAGAUUAUCUAAUAAUGUUUCUGACUUGAAUACCAAAGGAAUACAGCUACUAAAAAGUCUACCACAGGUGUCAAUCCUAAUCUCCUUGUCGUCCCAAAAGUCUUCGUACAAAUUACAAAGUGUUUGCUCUCGAAUAGAACUUAUUGAAAAUUGCAUAUUUUUGUCUCCAGGUAUUGAAAUAUCAUUGUAAUGGUAUCUAUGCGAAUUUCACAUAUUUCUUUGCACGGAAGUUCUUUGUUCGAGAUUUUAGGUGACCCUGUUUUGGUAGAGAGUGACAAAUCUUGAAAAGAGGCAACUUAAAAUAGACUUUGCUUCAUUUGAGUACUUAGGUAAUGUUGGUCGGACACUUGGAAUUAGGGGGGUUAUGGGUUACAGAUAUUUUGGAGAUAAACUUACCCAGACUGGCGAUGACCUUGUGGCGAUCUCAUAGCCAAUCGAUCACAUAUGCGUUAUCAUGUGGAGUAGGACUCUCGGUCGCGAUAUUGUUAUGAGAUAUUGUCACGGUAGCAUCCCGUUGCGAUAUCCAUUAAUUCCAUCCAGUUGCUAGUGAAAAAUAUGGUUGACUUUUGUACGACACCAUUAGGUGAUAUUAGAAUACGGUUUUUGGUGUCUUUCCCUUCUUGACGGGAGGAGACAUCAACUCAUCGGAACAGCCAUAAUUGGCCAUGAUAAAUCUGUAUAAACUCGGAUUGACAUGUUCAUUUGGUUGCAUUGGACUCGUUUCAACAUCCCGAUUAACUGUUGGUCUUGGUCUUGCAUUUGAGACCCUUGUUUUUUCGUUUGUCGAACAUUUCCACCCAAAUCGAACUCGUGCUUGACUUGGGGCUAGGGUUUCCACAACAACUAGAAAAGGGAAAUUAUAAUCUCAUUUCAAUUUUUGUUUACUGAUAUGCUACUUGGUAUCAACAUCGGUGAUUUAUUGAUACAUUUGAUACUAAACGAUAUCUGAUUCGAAUGAUUUUUAUAGAGAUGAUUUUCAAAUGAAGAUUAAGAGAUUGAAUGGUUACGAUUAUAAAAUUUUUACAUUUAAGAUAUGUUUUUUGCAAGUGGAGAAAUGAGAUCAUUUCAAUAUAUGAGAAUGAAAGUAUUCAGUGUUCUAAAAAGCAGCCUAGGCAACUCCUAGGUGUUAGGCGGUGAGUUGUCACUGCGACAAUUCCUAAUCAGUCUGAAAAUCAAAACGCUUGUUAAGCGGCUCCUUGGGUGGAGCUAGGUACGGUAGGCGGAAAUUUGUAGAGAGCUAUGCCGGAAUCUGAAUUUUUUUGUAUGCAGACCGACGACACAUUCGAAGAAGAAGAUGGCUUGUCUACAAGUUGUCGUUUUGCCAAAGGUUGUCAGUUGCUGUUUCAGUUUUUUAUUCAAACUUUUUUGUUUUGAGAGCCCACCAUUUUUUUUUUUUGAUUUUUUUAAUGGGAAACUCCCAAUGAAAAAUCAUAUUUUUAUAUUAAAAAGUCAAUCCUGGUACUAUUCACUUUACUUUUUAUUUUGUCUUUAUCAUUAAAACUCAAAAUUUUGAAGCCAUUUUCAUUUUUUUUUAUCACUUUUCGUUUUCUUUUCUUUAAUCAGUAAGUGACUUUUUCACCUUUAUUGUUAUUAUUUUUUUUCUCGUUUUAAGACACCAUUGUCUCUCACCAAUAAUAUUUGUACUUUUUUAUUUUGUUUUGGUUAUGUUUAUACUACAUAUUAAUAAGGGGUGUGUAGAUAUACACACCAUUUUUUACUUCUCACACACCUCUUAUUAAUUUAUAUCCGUUGAUCUUCUUCAUUUCAUCCGAUCCGAAAGCCGAAAAUUGGAAGGGUGUAUGAGAAGUAAAAAAUGGUGUGUGGAGAUCACACCCCAUUAAUAAUAGCAUACCUUUUAUCAAUCAAAAGAUAGGGUAAAAACAAGUAUACGGGUAGAUAAUUACUUAUUUAUAUGAAAUAUAAUAAGUUUACUUAAUCUGUCUAGUUCGUCUAGUCGCUUAGAUGCUAUGUCCUAACUCGUCACUCGUCUAGCUAGGCCGUAGCCCGCUACUCAACUAUAGCUUAGCGUCUUUUAGAGCCAUGCAAUUAUUAUCCUUAAAAAAAAUCUCCAGAUUCAAGAGAAAAGAGAUUAAUUUGGUUCAUCAAUGAAUGAGAAGGAGUUUCUCUUUAAUUCACCAUGUGGCCGAUUUAUGGAGAGAUUUUUUCAGUGUGAUCGAAACAUGGGGUGAUACACCACUUGUCACUAUACAAAUGGUGGGAUAUGUGUGUUAAAAAGUUAAUAACUUAAAUAUUAAAAUUUUGGGUAAAUUACACUUUACCACCUUAUACAACACUUCAAAACAUUUCACUUUCAUACCUCACCUACUAUUUAAUUUUAAUAUAGUACCCCCGUUACAUUUUCCAUCCAUUGAUCCAUUAAGAGCUGGUGUGGCGGACACAUUUGUGCCACGUGGCAAAAAAUUUAAUUUUUUAUUCAUUUAAAAUAUUAUAAUAAUUUACCCCUAAAAAAAACUCAAACUCAAAACCACCUCUCUGCAACCCCCACCCCUGCAAACAAACCCAGAAACAUUCACCCCCACCUCCCUCUCCUCCACUCUCUUCACCUCCCUUCCCAAAAAUCCUUUUCUCAGUCCUCUCCUCACUCACCAUUUCUGACUGUUUCUCUCUAUCUCCCCUCUCUCUCUAGGAGAUGAGUCCUCAAACCCUAACCUUAAUCUCAUGCACUAUUCUCUCUUCUUCUUCCUCUUCCUAUCGCCGAUCAAUUCGUAGAGACACUCGUCGACGAUCUCCGCUCCCACAGAAAAAGCAAGAGCUUGGACGGAGGGGGUGGCUUGGGUGGGAUUUUUGGGCAUGGCGGUGGUCUCCGGGAAGGUAGGGGUGGGGUGGGGGGUUGCGGGGGAGGUGAGGGUCGGGUGGAAUGGGGUGGGAUGGGAUGGGGUGUUUGGGUUGUAGGGAAGGGGGAGGGUCGGGGGGUUCUAGGUUUGUUUGGUUUUUUUUUUAAAUAGGGUAAAUAUUAUUAUAUUUUAAGUGCAUAAAAAUUAUUAUUUUUGCCACAUGGCAUAAAUUUGGCAGCCACAUCAGCACAAAUAUGGAUCCCAUAUUUACCACGUCAUCAUUUAACGGUUUACUUAAUGGAUUUUCUAACGGAUGUAUGAAAUUGAAAUAAAAUGAUAAGUAAAUGUAUGAAAUUGAAAUAAAAUGAUAAGUAAAUGUAUGAAAUUGAAAUGUUUUAAAGAUGUUGUAAGAAAUUGAAAUUGACCACAAACAUGAGGGGGUAAAAUGUAAUUUACCCUAAAAAUUUUCACCACUUAUAUAAAAACACGUGGUGUACCACUCAUGUUCCGGUCACAAUGAAAAAAUUUCCGAUUUAUGGGAUUUUAUGCUCUUAUGAUCUGAACUAUUCAUAUUAUAAAAACACUUUGUAAAGAUCACUCUUCAAAAAAAUCAAUAAAAUAUGAGAUCGUUUAGUUAUCAAACUGUAUAAAAACAUAUAAGCGAAUCUGGUAAAAGAAUUACAAAACCAUCUAUCUAUUAGCUUCAAUCAAUUGAUUAGACGACUUUAUUUUCUAUUGAUCUUUUUUUUUUGGUUGGCUACAGGCAUAGAUUUAAAUAUCGAUAUUAUCGGCGAAAUAUCGCUGAUAAUAUCGAUUUUUCGGGGAAUGGAUAUUUAAAUAGGUAUCCGUGUGAUUUUCGUCAAAAUAUCGCGAUAUUAUCGAUAAUAUCGCGACAUUUUUUGGAACUGUGCAAUCGGACUCUGAGAAUAACGCCGGAGAUGGUGUGCCUAUUCCCGAGCCGAUUUCGUCCCAAAAACCUUGCAAAAACACGAUUUUUAACAUCAAUUUCACAUAUAAACUUCAGAUUUCACGCAUGCAAGAGGUAAUCAACAUAGGGUUUAGUCGGAUCUCACCUGAAAACUUGGGUGUGCCUGGGUGUGGGUGCGAUCGGGGAAGCCGAGCUUCCUCUGCGCGUCGCCGUGCUUCCCAGAGACGGAGGAGAGGGAGGGAGGGUGGUGGAGACGCUGCGCUGGCAUCGGGGUGGACGGAUUUGGGUGUGCCUGGGUGUGGGUGCGAUCGGGGAAGCCGACCUUUCUCUGCGCGUCGCCGUGCUUCCCAGAGACGGAGGAGAGGGAGGGAGAGUUCAGGAGGGUGAGAGUUCAGGAGGAAAGGGAGGGAGAGUUCAUGGGAGGGAGAGUUCGAGAUAGAGAUAGAGUUGAGAACUCUGAGAGAGUGAGGGGUCCGAGAGGGACUCGGGAAAAGAGAGAGAGAUAGGGUGAGGGUUAGUGGGCUGCCACGUGGCAGCGUGACAGAGAGUGAGAAUCAAGAUGAAGGGUCCAGAUUAGAUUAGGAUAAAGGACUCAAUUGCACAAUUUAUAUAAUUUCAGAAAAAGAGUGAAAAUAUAAAUUAAUCUGGGGGUCUAGAUUAGAUUAGGAUAAAAGACUCAAUUUCAGGGAAAAAGUGAAAAUAUAUAAUUUCAGGGAAAUAGUAGAAGUUGUAUUUAUUGGUUAGGCAUAUGGAAAUGCAAAAAAUUGUUUUUCUAAUGAUUCUAAUCAAUUUCAAGAAAAAUAAUGAAUUUAUAAGGGUAAGAUGAGUCUAUAAAAGUGAUAUAAUGAGUCUAUAAGAGUGUCGGUCAGUUAGACAAUUUAGAUUUUUUUAAUCAUUUUUGCCAAUUGGCUUGUUAUCGCCUUUUUUUUAUUAUCAAAUUGGAUUAUUAUUCAUUAAAUUGGAUUAUUAUCAAAUUGGAUUAUUAUUCAUCACCAUGUUUUAUAUUAGGAUUAUUUUUUUAUGAAAUUGGAUUAUUAUUCAUGAAAUUGGAUUAUUAUUCAUUAAAUUGGAUAACUACUCUUCACAAUACACUCACUAUACACAUAGAGAUGAUGAAGAUAGUGAAAAUUUUGAACCUCAUAGGAACUCUAUGUGGUACUAAGUCACUUAUGUAUCUUACCAUGCAAUGUAUAAAGUGUAAAAUAUUGUACUAAUUCAUUAUAUAUAAAUGAUUAUGGUGUGUUUAGACUUCUUUCAUUAAUUACUACAUAUUUUCUACACUCACAAUGUUUGUCAGCUCGCUAUAUAAUCAACUUGAUAAUGUUAAAUCCAUCAUGCAAUGCAUUUCUUUCCAAUUUUUUGUGAUAAACUAAUAGAUAAUUGACUAAAUAAACAUCCUACAAAGUUUCAAUAAAAAUUUCCAAGUUUUUCUUACAAUUUUCGUGGUUUCCAUGUAAUUUUUAUCGAUAUCGAUAUUUUACCGAUAUUUCCAUCGAUAUUUCCGUGUUUUCGGACUACCGAUAUUUCCGAUAUUACCGAUAUUUUCUUCCUUGGCUACAGGGCAUAAGCCCAAACGACAAAGGAAGUUACAUAAGAAUAUCACGAGGCCACGAUACCCCAGCUAUAUUUGCAACUAGCAACUGAUGGCAAGGAUAAGCCUGCUAAAAAAAACCAGACUCAAACUGCAUGACAAACCCAAAUGAACCAAAUCAUCAUCAACAACAUUCUUUUCACGAUAGAUAUAACGAACUUCUAUUGAUCUUUUAAUCCUUACAAAGUUAUUUAUAAUAUAAACGGUUCCAAUAUAAUCAAAAAGUACAAUGAAUUGAUCACAAAAUAUCUUGAAAAAAAACUUCAAUCGUUUUAAGGAGCCAACCUCACUCAAGAGAAAAUCCAAAACCCAAUAACAAAAAACAAAAGCAUCUUCGUUUGUUCCCCUUCGCCCUUCCCUUUCAUUUCCUUCCAUCUUCUCAAGAAACAAACAGAAGGGUUUUUAUCACAAAUGGUUAUUGAAAUUGACUCUCACUAUCAAGAUGAUAUCUGAAAUUGAAAAUCAAUCAAUGUAGUCCUUGAAAAUAGGUGUCGUAAAUCAAUGUGGUCAUUUCGUCACAAUUCUGUUUAAAAUUUCGUUAAAUGCUGACGUGGCAUAUAAAUGGGUCCCACAAGAUUUACAGGUUUUUAUCAUAAAUUGCCCCUGAAAUUGACCCACACCAUCAAGAUGGUCUCUAAAAGUGAAAAUCAAUGAAUGUAGUCCUUGAAAAUAGAUGUCACAAAUCAAUAUGAUCCUUCUGCCACAAUUUUGUAAAAUUUUCUGUUAUGUGCUGACGUGGGUUUAAUAAUAAAUUAAAAAAGUUGACUAAAUAUCUUUUUGCACAAUGAUUUUUUUUUUUUUUUUGGUUAUAGUAGGGCCUACUUCGAAGAGAGACCCUUCCAUAAAUUCUCAAGAGCACAAAGCUUAACCAAGGCCUAAGAGAGGGUUUGGUAAUAGUUUUCAACCAACAAUAGACACACCUCGGUUAUAAUAUUAUUAUCUCAAGGCAGACCUCGUUGUUCUUUGAAUCACCGUACCGCCAGGAAAGCACUUAACAAACUCUCCAAAAUUAAGAUUGUAAGGAUGUUGAUCGCCUAAAUGUUAAGGGUGAUGUCCUAGAAGUCUUUGCCAGUCAACUAAGCCGUCACCAAAAGUGAUCUCGAUCCAAGUUCAAUUCGAUGAAGAGUAUCGAAGUGUGUAAAGAUGGGUGUAUUGAGAUUUUUUUUUAUUAUAGAGAAUAUGCAGCAAAGGAGGUAGACGAAUGUGGACUGGGAUCGGAGGUGAUUACAGGACUGGAUUUUUGGGUUGACAACUAUUUAUUAACUAUUAAAUUAUUAAACCUAUUUUUAAUUUUUUUAAAUUUAAUUAGACUUAUGUGACCGAUUUAUGUGUCAAAUCAGCACAUAACAAAAUUUUUGACCGAAUGAUGACGGAAUGACUAUAUUGAUUUGGGACACUUACUUGCAGGACUGCAUUGAUCGAUUUUCAAUUUUAAAGACCAUUUUGAUGUCGUCAGUCAAUUUCAGGGACCAUUUUGAUGUGGCAAGUCAAUUUCAAGGACCAUUUGUGAGAAAAAAAAAAGAACUUAUGGGACCCAUUUAUGUGUCACAUCAACACUUAAUAGAAUUUUUAACAGAAUUAUGACAUAAUGACUACAUUAAUUUGCAACAUCUAUUUUCAAAAAUUACAUUAAUUGAUUUUCAAUUUCAGAUACUAACUACGAUAAAAACCCCAAAUAUACACCACUACAAGCAACAACAUUAGCAAGAAAAUAAAGAAAUACAUAAACCCAAUAAGCACCAUUACAAUUUCGACGCCAUGGAUGAGUACGGCAUACAACCUCUCUCUCAUGAUUUCAGCUUCAGAAUUUGACAUCUGAAAGUGAAAAAUUAUUUUUUUUGUGUCUUUUCUCUCCAUUUCCAGAUCUGACGACUACCUAGGGGCGGUUCGGUACGAUUACCGUACCAAAACUCUUGUACCAAUUACCGUACCAAAACUCUUGUACCAAUUACCGUACCAAAUUUUCGGUUUGGUAAAAUCUAUUACCAUUACCGUACCAAACUUUCGGUAUACCGAAGUUUGGUAUUGCCAAAAGUUUGGUUGGCAUGGUAUGACAAUGGUAAUUGCCAUUUUGUUUUGGGACAAAAUUUGUUUUUGUUUUUUUAACCCAAUUCAAGGGCAAAACUUUUUUUUUGUACCUUUAUCUCAUACAUUAUAGAUUAAAUUCAUCUAUUAUUCAUCAUUCACAAUUCACACACAUAAUAAUUCAAAUGAUGCAUUAAGAUUCAUCAUGAAAAUUAAGCUUACAAUCCAAAUAAAACUUACGAACCAAAACAAAUAGAAGUUAACAAUCCAAAUAGAAAUUAAAGUUUCAAACCAAAUGAAAAUUGGAAGUAAACUUCAGAAGGGAGAAUUCAUUGAUCAGUUAUUCAAGCUUGAGAUGUUGAAGCUUUUGGAGGAGGCAUUGAACUUCUAGAAAAUUGAAUUUGUGUCAAGCCUACAUUACAAACAAAGAAAACGUAUUAAUUAGUAGCUAAAAGAAUUAAAGUUGAAAACCAUUUAAUAACAAAUUUACUAAAAAAAUUAAAGCAUAUCUUUCUUGUUUUCUCUUCUUCCAUUUCCUUGUAAAAUUGAAGCAUAUCUUCCGUUGGUUCCUUAUAGAAGUUUACUUCGUCUGCCCUAAGCCAACCACUAGUACGCACUAGUGCCUCCAUUAUUUUAGGAGUCAAGGAUACCCUAAAAGAGUUCACAACCCUCCUCCCUAAGCUAAAUGCAUUUUCACUAGCAACAAUAGAAGUGGGGGUUACAAAGAUAUUUUGGCUAUUUGUGAAAGAAUUAGGAACUCUUUUGUGUUUGAUUUCCACAAUUUUAAGAGAUCAAAGUCACCAACAACAAUGCUAAUAUAAGUAGGGUUUUAUUUUCAAAUUAUUGGAAUAUUAUAAAUAUGUGUUAUAUAAUUAUCUAUUAUAUAAUUUAUAAAUUAUAAAUUAUAUUGUAUUUUCAGUAUGAUACGGUAACACCAUGGUAAUAGUAUCCAUUACUAAUACCAUACCAUGAAAUUUCGAUACGGUACAAUACCGUACCAUUACCGUUUAGUAUAAAAAAAUUGGCACAAAAACGGUAUGGCACGGUUGACAAUUCGGUUCGCAAGGCAAUUUGGCAAAAAAAAUCCACCCCUCCGACUACCCAAAAGAGUGCAACACCCAAGACGGCCGCGAAGUGAUGUCAUCAUCGUCGACAACAAGCGUCCACGUCACGGCCCUGGACGGCCUGGUCAACGUGAACUCACUCUUCACCAUCGCCGUCUUCGUGGGGCUUUCUCUGGCGACUCCGGGGC
RNAcentral lists this long non-coding RNA (59123 nucleotides) under Malus domestica (apple). RNAcentral describes it as "long non-coding RNA (MDOM_LNC004948)". The record is from RNAcentral. Lineage: Eukaryota; Viridiplantae; Streptophyta; Magnoliopsida; Rosales; Rosaceae.